This 70143-nucleotide long non-coding RNA is filed under the name Cucumis sativus (cucumber). Its description in RNAcentral is "long non-coding RNA (CSAT_LNC000686)". Lineage: Eukaryota; Viridiplantae; Streptophyta; Magnoliopsida; Cucurbitales; Cucurbitaceae. The record is from RNAcentral.
AAAGGUUUAAAUACCUGGUUCAUCAAAGAUUGGAAGGUUGCCAGAGCAUUCGUGAGACCAAACGACAUUACUAGAAACUCAUAGUGCCCUUCAUGUGUGCGGAACGCAGUUUUCUCCACAUCUUCCUCUUUCAUUCUAAUCUGGUGAUAACCAGAUUUCAGAUCUAAUUUCGAGAAAACCGUUGCCCCAUUCAGCUCAUCUAAUAAUUCCUCUAUCACAGGAAUUGGGAACUUAUCCGAUACUGUCGCCUGAUUUAACUUGCGGUAAUCGACACAAAAUCUCCAUCCACCAUCUUUUUUCUUCACUAACAACACCGGGCUGGAGUAAGGGCUAUGACUAGGGCGAAUAACCCCUGCUUGAAGCAUCUCGACCACCAGUUUUUCUAUUUCUUCUUUCUGCACAUGACCGUAUUUGUAAGGUCUUACGUUGAUAGGUUUAUGGUCAGGUAGGGUUAAUAUUCGGUGAUCAAUAGCUCUUUUUGGAGGUAAUUUCUUCGGUGUCUCAAAUAUCUCCGCAUAAUACUUGAGCAGGGAUCGGAUCAUAGAUAUUUCCUCCUCAUCUCCUUUUAAUCUUGUCCCCAGUUCAUAUUCAUUCUCUACUUCCAUCUCAUAAUUCUGGAAUUCUAAGAGGAAGCCUUGAUCUUCUAUAUGUAAGGAUUCAACUUGCUUACUUCACUAUUUCUCCCUUACAAUGGCCAAAAACAGAGGUAGCCCUCUGCUAUCUUUAUUUAUAUAUAGCCAAAAUGAGUACAGAAAAACAUAAAGAUUCAAGAAAAACAAGGAAUAAUAAAGACAAACCCAGCUUCCUCUAGGAAAAGACUGGAUAUUCCUCUAGGCUAAGCAGCCGCCAACUUCAGGAUAAAAAUAAAACCUACCUCCCCUAGACCUAAAAAACCUAUUUAUAUUCCUUCUCUCAUCUUUCUCUUAUUUCUGUGCCUGGGCCCCACCUGCACGAUCUCCUCCUCUUUUUCCUUCCUCAUUAUUAAUUUGUCCAGUUACUUUUCUGCCCCUCCUUUGAUAUGUAUGAAUAAUUGGAGGUCUUACAAUACCCCGGGGCUCCAAGUUCACCUUGUCCUCAAGGUGAAACUGAGGGAACUGCUGAUUCAAUAGGUAAACUGAUUCCCACGUUGCUUCACUGUCUGGUAAGUUCUUCCAUUUGAUCAGCCACUCAUUGCCUCCUAGCUCCUUGUUCCACCUUUUUCCCAGCACGUUUUCCGGCCACAAUUGUAGUUCAAAAUCCUCAGUUAGUAUAGGCUGUUGUUGCUGGACUACAUGUUGUUUUCCCAACUUCAGUUUCAGUUGAGACACGUUGUUUUCCCAACUUCAGUUUCAGUUGAGACACGUGAAAGACAUUGUGAAUGGCGGCCUCGGGCGGUAGUUGCAAUCGAUAAGCGACCUCUCCUAUCUCUUCAAUAACCUCAUACGGCCCAUAAAAUUUUGGGGAUAGCUUUUCACAUUUCUUCCGAGCUAGUGAUCUUUGUCGAUAGGGUCGUAGUUUCAAAUACACUUCAUCCCCAAUUUUGAAUUUGAGCUCCCUGCGGUUUCGGUCUGCCAUUUUCUUCAUUCUAUUUUGAGCUAUGCAUAGGUUUUCCUUCAGUGCAUUGAGUGCUAAAUCUCUCUCCUUCAACAUGACUUCUACGUCAUUGUUAGGAGAUUGCUUCCAUCCAUAUGACAGCAGUGGCGGGGGAGUUCUUCCAAAAACAGAUUGGUAAGGAGUAGUUUUGGUGGAUGCGUGGAAGGUUGUGUUAUACCAUAAUUCCGCCCAAGGGAUCAGUUUAUCCCAUUUCUUCGGUUGUUCAUUGCAAAAGCAUCUCAAAUAGGUCUCUAGGCAUCUGUUUACACUCUCGGUUUGUCCAUCGGUUUGGGGAUGGAAUGCCGUGCUUCUCUUCAAAAUGGUGUCCAUGGUAGUGAACAACUCCUUCCAGAAAUUGCUAAGGAAGAUCUUAUCACGGUCGGUAAUAAUGGACUUGGGUAUUCCAUGUUUGCUGACCACUUUUUCCAAAAAAAUUGAAGCCACUUGCUUGGCUGUGUACGGGUGUUUCAGAGGCAAGAAGUAGGAGUACUUACUUAGGCGGUCGACGACUACCAUAAUCACGUUGUAACCUCCUGCUAUUGGCAGCCCUUCAAUAAAAUCCAUGGUCCAAUCCUCCAAUAUCUUGUCGGGGAUAGGAAUGGGUUGCAGAACUCCCGCAGGCUUAGUAGCUUCGAACUUAUUACGUUGACAAGUGUCACAUUCUUCUACAUAUCUCUUGAUAUCAGCCUUCAUUCCUUUCCAAAAUAGUUCCCCACUCAUUCUUUUAUAGGUUCUCAAGAAUCCCGAGUGCCCUCCUAAUAUGGAAUCAUGGAACGUGUGUAGAAGACUCGGAAUGAGGGAGGAAUUUCGCGGCAGCACCAUCCUUCCUUUAUAUAGCAGCCUGCCAUUGUUCCACUGGUAUUUCCCACCUUGAUCCACCUCUCCCUUAAGUUCGGCAAUAAUUUUCUGAAGUUCUUGAUCCAUUUCAACUUCCUUCUCUAUUAUCUCUAUAUCAACUAUGCCUGUGGUUGUCAUUGUAUUUAACUCCACCGAAUGGUCCUUCCUUGAGAGAGCAUCCGCCACCUUAUUCUGCAGACCCGGCUGGUAUAAGAUCUCAAAGUCAUACCCCAAAAGUUUUGUGAGCCACUUUUGGAAUUGAGGCUGAACUUCCCUCUGUUCUAACAGAAAUUUCAGAGCCUUCUGAUCUGAAACAAUUGUGAACUUUCUGCCCAGGAGAUAAUGUCUCCAUUUUUGCACCGAAAGGACAACCGCCAUCAAUUCCCUUUCAUAGAUCGACUUACCCUGGGCUCUUGGGGACAGUUUCUGGCUGAAGAAUGCGAUGGGAUGACCAUCCUGUGAUAAAACUGCACCUAAACCUACUCCUGAAGCAUCAGUUUCGAUUGUGAAGGGCUGAGACCAAUCCGGCAAUGCUAAUACCGGUAAGGUUGUCAUUGCUAGCUUCAGCUGGUCAAACGCUAUUGUAGCUUCCUCAUUCCAAUGGAAUGCAUUUUUCUGAAGUAAUUUGGUUAAGGGUGCAGCUAUUUCUCCAUAGCUUUUCACAAAUCUUCUAUAAUACCCAGUCAGUCCAAGGAAUCCCCUCAGCCCAGUUAUAUCUUUCGGCCGUGGCCAAUUUACCAUACUGCGAAUCUUGUCCUCAUCAGCCUCCACUCCUCUGCUGGAAAUCAGAUGACCCAAAUAUUGAACUUGGGAAUGAGCAAUGACACAUUUAGACCUAUUUGCAAACAAUUCAUGGUCCCUCAAGAUAGCAAAAACCAUUCCUAAAUGUUUCAUGUGCUCAUCUAUGUCCACACUAUAAACUAGAAUGUCAUAAAAAAAAACCAGGACACACCUUCGAAGGAAUGGUUUGAACACCUCGUUCAUGAGAGAUUGGAAGGUGGCAGGAGCAUUCGUAAGGCCGAAAGGCAUCACCAAGAACUCAUAAUGUCCUUCAUGCGUGCGGAAAGCUGUUUUCUCCACAUCUUCCUCCCUCAUCCUAAUCUGGUGGUAUCCAGAUUUAAGGUCUAACUUUGAGAAAGCUGUCGCACCAUGAAGUUCAUCUAAGAGUUCUUCGAUCACGGGAAUUGGAAAUUUAUCAGCCACCGUUACUUGAUUGAGUUUCCUGUAAUCUACACAAAAUCUCCACCCUCCAUCUUUUUUCUUCACUAAGAGGACCGGGCUCGAAUAUGGGCUGCGGCUUGGACGAAUCACCCCAGCUUGUAACAUUUCUAACACCAAUUUUUCAAUCUCUUCCUUUUGUACAUGGCCAUACUUAUAUGGUCUUACAUUAAUUGGUUUCUGAUCGGCCACGGUCAGAAUGCGAUGGUCUAUGGCUCUCCUUGGCGGUAAACCCGUGGGCAACCUAAAGACAUCUGCAUAUUGCUCGAGCAAUCGCUGAACCAUGGGUAAUCCUUCUUCCUUUCCCUUCAAUUCAGCUUCUGUUUCCGAUUCUCCUUCAUAGUUUACUUCAUAGUUUUGGAAUUCCAAGAGGAAUCCUUGGUCCCCGGAUUGCCACGUUUUCUCUAAGGUUCUCAAUGAACAUUCUGACUUCGUUAGAGAAGGGUCACCUUUUAGGAUUAUUCUUCUACCCUUCAUCCAAAACGUCAUGGUUAGGGAUGGCCAGUGAACCUUCAUGGUUCCUGUCGAAUCUAGCCAUUGCAUCCCAAGCACCAAGUCUACCGUUCCUAACUCUACCGCUAGGAAAUCUGCUACGAUUGUUAACUCUUUUAACUUCACCUUCACCCUCUUGCAAAUCCCACUUCCUUCACAUUGGUUGCCAUUCCCAAUGGUAACUCCAAAACGAGUUCCCGGAUCGAUGCUCAGCUGUAGUUCAUCUACCAACACUUAGCUGAUGAAGUUAUUGGUCGCCCCGCUGUCAAUCAGAAUAACUACUUCCCUUCCGUUCACAUGUCCUUUUAAUUUCAUCGUCCCCUUUGAUGUAACUCCCGUGAUCAACCUCAAUUCAAUAGGGUUAUCCAUAUUCAAUUCCAGAUGAUUCAGUUCUAUUACUUCGCUUGCCUCAUCCUCUGUAUCCUCUUCCCUUUUGUGGUCUUCUUCCUCAUUUAGUAUAAGGAGCAUCAACUCUCUUUUUUCUCUCCCUUUACAUCGAUGGCCUGGGGCGUACUUUUCAUUACAUCUGAAACAAAGCCCCUUAUCCAGCCUUGCUCUAAAUUCCGUAUCCGACAGCCGUUUAAUUGGGAGAUCUUUUUUCUGGUAAUCAUUUUUCAAUGGAAUAGUUACCUGCUUCAUCACAAACUCUGUCUUUUUACUUUCUGUCUUCUCAUUUUUUCCUUGAAAUUUGCUGCUGUUCUCAUUCCUUUUGGGCUCAACUAUAUCCAACUCUUCCAUCGCCAGUUUUAAUGCUAUAUUCCUAUCAUUCGCCAGCUGAGCUUCCUUCAUACAUUCCUCUAAAGUUUGAGGGUGUCUGCUGAUUACUUCCGCUUGCAGUGAGGGUUCCAGACCCGUUAAAAACGCAUCCAGCAGAACACUUUCUGCCAUGUCCGGGAGGGGGCUGAGUAUGUAACAAACUUCUUAACGUACUCGCUGUAUGAGCCUUCUUGCUUAAUACGGAUUAAUCUUGCCCCCAAGCUCUGCUGUCCUGUAUCAUUAAAGAAAUCAAACAUCCUUUCCUUCAAGUCCUCCCAAGAUUCCACCCUCUUUCUACGAUUACUCCAUCUAAACCAGUCUACCUCUUCCUGUCCAAAACUCACGACUGCUACUUUGACCUUCUCAGCUUCCGGUAAGUCAUUUAUAUCAAAAAAAUGUUCUGCUCGGUACGCCCAGGAUUCAGGGUUCACCCCUGUAAACAGUGGCAUUUCUAAUUUUUUGUACUUACUUCGGUCUGCGCUGCUUCCACCCGACUCGACUGUGGUUCCGGCCUCUUCCAGUUUUCCCUUCAGUUUCAACCUGAUGUCGUCCGUAGUCCCUGCUUCUUCUUUUUUCUUAGCACCAUGGUUUUCUCUUAGCUCGCCUGUCAUUCGAUCCAUCGAUUUCUUCAUUUCCAGCAUCAUCUCCUUCAGACUCAUAAUUUCCUUUUCAGUACCUUCUACCCGUUCUUCUAUCUGUCUUUGAGCCAUCAGACGCGUGAUCACCCCCAGUGUGGAGGCUCUGAUACCAAUAUAUAAGGAUUCAACUUGCUUACUUCACUAUUUCUCCCUUACAAUGGCCAAAAACAGAGGUAGCCCUCUGCUAUCUUUAUUUAUAUAUAGCCAAAAUGAGUACAGAAAAACAUAAAGAUUCAAGAAAAACAAGGAAUAAUGAAGACAAACCCAGCUUCCUCUAGGGAAAGACUGGAUAUUCCUCUAGGCUAAGCAGCCGCCAACUUCAGGAUAAAAAUAAAACCUACCUCCCCUAGACCUAAAAAACCUAUUUAUAUUCCUUCUCUCAUCUUUCUCUUAUUUCUGUGCCUGGGCCCCACCUGCACGAUCUCCUCCUCUUUUUCCUUCCUCAUUAUUAAUUUGUCCAAUUACUUUUCUGCCCCUCCUUUGAUAUGUAUGAAUAAUUGGAGGUCUUACACUAUAUCCCACGUUUUUUCCAAUGUCUUCAAAGAACAUUCAGCUUUCACUAAGGAUGGAUCUCCUCUUAACACGAUUUGCUUGUCUUUUGCCCAAAAGGUCAUGGUUAAUGAUGGCCAAUGUACCUUCAUUGUGCCGGUGGUAUCUAGCCAUUGCAUCCCUAAAAUCACGUCAAUAUUUCCUAGUUCCACCACUAGAAAAUCAGUUAUAACUGUCAUUUCUUUCAAUCUCAGUUCCACCUUUCUGCAAAUACCUUUCCCUUUACAGCGGGUCCCGUCUCCAAUAGUCACUCCAAAUUGUGUACCGGGUUCAAUGUUCAACCCUCCUUCCAUUGCCACUGCUUCAUGGAUGAAGUUGUUCGUAGCUCCACUGUCGAUGAGAAUCACCACCUCCCUUCCUUUUACAUGCCCCUUCAGUUUCAUUGUCCCUUUGGAUGUUAACCCCGUGAGUGUCUUCAAUUCAAUUUCGGUGGUUUCAGCAACAACUAACUGGUUCAGCUCCAUUACUUCUUCGGUCUCUUCCAUUUUGACUUCCUCCCCGCCACUCUCUUCUUCGUUAAGUAUAAAUAACAUUAAUUCCCUUUUCUCUCUCAUCUUGCAUCGGUGUCCCGGUGAGUACUUCUCAUUGCAUCUAAAACACAAACCCUUGUCCAAUCUUGCUCUGAAUUCCGUGUCCAAGAGUCUUUUAACUGGAGGUUCAUUUUUCUGGUAGUUUCCUUUAAUGGGAAUAGUGACUUGCUUCAUGGGGAACUCAGUCUUCUUUGGUGAACUUUUAUCUUGACUGCUUUGUCCCUUGCUUGAGCCUCCUCCUUCCCUAGUCACACUGUUUACCCAUUCUGCCUUGGCUAAUUUCAAGGCUAGGUUUCUGCCACUUACCAGUUGUGCCUCCUUCAUACAUUCCUCUAAGGUUUGAGGAUGUCUACUAAUAACUUCUGCUUGAAGAGCCGGUUCUAGACCAGUCACGAAUGCAUCUAAGAGCACGCUUUCAGCCAUGUGCAGUAGUGGUGCAGAAUAUUGUACGAAUUUCUUGACAUAAUCAUUAUAGGAUCCAUCUUGUUCUAUUCGAAUCAGCCUUGCACCUAAGCUCUUCUGCCCAGAAUCUCGAAAAAAUUCAAACAUCCUUACCUUCAAAUCUUCCCAUCCUUCCACCUUCUUUCUAUGGUUACUCCAACGGUACCAAUCGAUUUCAUCUUGUCCGAAACUAACCACUGCUACUUUCACUUUUUCUGCUUCCGGUAGGCUAUUAAUUUCGAAAAAAUGCUCAGCUCUAAACACCCAUGACUCAGGAUUUUCCCCGGUGAAAAUCGGCAUUUCCAGUUUCUUAUAUUUGCUUCGGUCGACAGUUACUACAUUGUUUUCCCCUGGAUUGUCGGCUUCUUCCCAUUUUCCUUUUAACUUCAUGACUGAUCCAUCAGAAGUUCCGGAUUCAUCUCGCCUUUUGUAGCUGCUGUUUUCUUUCAUUUCAUCAGCCAGUCUAUCCAUGGAUUUCUUCAUUUCCAGAAUCAUUUCCUUCAAGCCCAGUAUUUCUUUCUCUGUUCCAUCUAUUCUUUCUUCUAUUUGCCUUUGCGCCAUCAGUCGCGUCACCACCCCAGCGUUUGGGCUCUGAUACCAGUUGUAGAGACUCCACAAAUAAAAUACUAAAUUACCCAAACAGUUGGCAAACAGAGACAGCACUCUGUAGAUCUUUAUUUAUAUAUAAAUGCCAAGAGAUACAGUAGAAGGAAAUAUAAAAGAAAGCAAUAAAGAUGAUAAUAUCAUGUCAAACCUCCCCAGGAAAAGAUAGUAGUCCUUCCUAGACCUAGCAGCCUCUACAGACCAAAUGAAGACAAAAAGUUAACCUAGCCCCCAAUCCCGAUAAGGCCUUAUUUAUAGCUCUUUUCUCAUUCUUCCCCGUGGGCCCCACUCUCAUGUUCUUUUCCUAAUAUUCUCCCCUUUUCUGCUGCGUGAGCUUUUACGUUUUUACCCCUCCUUUUGUAUGUAUGGAUAAUAGGGGGCCUUACAAAUUUCUUCCAACACUAUGAAACAUUUAUGUUAUAGUUUUAUUAUUGUAAACAUUUUUGCUAAACAUCAUUGUAAUUUCCAAACACAACUCUGCCAAAGUUCCCAAGAUAGUUCUAUAGCAAUGUUCCACAGGCUAUCUUGCAAGUGAUGUGGAACUCCUUUGCUUUUUUGAAUAGUAAGCUGGCCUUCCUCUUUUGUUAUGCUUUGUUUUGUUCUUAAUACUUGCUUUUAUCUUCGCCUAUUUCAUUCCUAGUUGAUAUAUUACAUAGUCCUCUUAAAUCUACAUUCUUUUUCUGUUUUAUGAUUCGCUUGAGUUUAAUGACUAACUUUGGCAAAAUAAUGUUGAACUAUAUUACAUGUUUUGCAUCUAAACCUCAAUUGAAAAGGUUUGUUACCUGUAUCAUUAUAAGGUUUCCAUCCAUCUUUCUUAGGCCAUCAAUGAAGUUUUUGCUUAGAUCUAUCUUAGUUCGGCCUCUUUAAAAUGUUACUCCAUACAAGGAAGAUCGAAAGUUGUGAUUACAAAGUGUAGAUUUGUAUUGUAUAGUUGCCUUAGUUAUUUUUUUAAUUAUUCUUUUUAGACGUUAUUUCCUUUUAUAAUUAGUUCUCUUUAGUUAGAAUUUCUAUUAAAUUAUACUUACCUAUUAUCAAGUCCUUUUUCAUUAAUAAGAGAAAAUGGAGUUUUUCUCAAAUAACAAAAAGUGAUUAUUUAAGAUACUAUGCUAAAGGGAACACAUCCAAUUACCAUGUUGAGAAUAUUAUCUUUGCCUAUUGAAGGUCUUGGAUUCUUGGUCAACUUUGAAUGCGAAUUUUUCUUAGUUGAUUAUUAAAUAUCAGGGUAAAAAGAUCUUAUAUUGUAAUGUUGUUUUGCUUCACUUGCAUCAUACACUAAAACACAAGAUUAAAAAAAAAGUUAUAUUUAGACUUUUGUAUGGUAGAUUAGGUGUUCUCUUUGAAUUGGUGUUGGUAUUGGCUUUCUAAUUAUGAUAUGAUUUUGGGAACCUUUGAAUUAUGUUCUUCAAACCUUCUCUCUUCGAUUGAAGCUUAUUAUAUUUUAUCGUUGUUAGUAUGUUUUUUUUCUUCCAUUUUUUCCCUUCUAAUAUUUUUAUUUGAUAUAUAAUGUGCAUAAAAGAGAAAGUAGUUAAUGUGUUUUACAUUGUUGUGUUGUGCAAAGUUGGUGCUGUUGGUUCAAAUAUUUAAGAUUUGGUGAAGCACUUGGAAUAAGUUCAAACUUUUAAUCUGUAGGAUAAUUUACUUUAUAAGAAUCACACAUUUACCUUUUUUUUCUUUUUUGAAGUAGGAAAGGAGCCUCUUCAUUAAGCUGAAAAUGAAUAGACAAGACAAAAGGUAAUACAAAGAAGCCCUAGGAUCAGUGAGUGCACUAGGACAUCUCAUCUAUGUUGACACCUACUUAGCAUUCUCACCAUAUCGAGACUUAAACCAAAAGACUAAACCAACGACAAGGUUUAGAAUAGAUCAUACAAACUGCCCAAUAACUAUACAACAUAGAUUUAAGACCACUAGAAAUCCAAAAGAAAUAAAAUAAGAGUACAGUAGUGGACUAAGAAUUAAAAAUGAAAGUCGGCCAAUUAUGACUUAUAUCUUGUAUGGAGAAAUCUUUGAAGUCUUUUGAAAGAGAGCAUCAAGAAGAAGCAUUGAUUCUAGCCAUUUCGACUCGAGUUGUCCAAGAGGAAGCUUUAUUUUGAAAUGUUAGUUGAUUAUGUUCAAACCAAAUUUCUGGUAAAAUGGCCUUUACUGCAUCUAACCAAAUCAAUCUUGGUUUCUUCUUGAGAAUGGGACAUGAAAUAAGCUGGACCGUGUUCUCCUAAAUCUAUAGUCGAAAACCCAAUUCAAAUGAAGAUAGCCAAGUAAGUCAAACCAACACUUCUUUUCAUGUAAGCAGGAGAAGAAAAUAUGAUGUAAAUCUUCUAAAGCAUGCAAACACAAGGGACAAAUAUGAGGAGAUAAACUGUGAGAGGAAAGUUUCAUUUGCAAAACUUCUGCACAGUUCAUAGUCCAUUUCGCUUUCUCCAAAGCGUGAUAUUCACUCUUCUAGGGCUUUUUGUCUUCCAAAUUGUCGAGUAUAAAUGUUUUUCAAUUGGGGAGGCAAUGGAGAGAUGGUUGACUAAUGAAUGAACCAAAAACAUCCCAUUUGAUUCUGAUUUCUAGGUUCUUUUAUUUUGGGAGACUUGAAAUUCAUCUAUUUCUUCAACUUUUAGAAGUCUCCUGAAAUUUAGAGCCCAUGAAGUAGUGGAAGAGUCCCAAAACUCCUUUACAUCUCCAUUAUUAGAGUUCAAAGACAAUCUAAACGAUCUUGAAAAGAAACAACAUCUGCCCAAAAAUCAUUCCAAAAUGCUAUUCUUCAACCAUCACCGAACUUGAACAAUGCCUAGGAAUCCACUUGAAGCUAGCAUCUCGAAAUGCUAAUCCAGGGACUAUGGAAACUGCAAGUGACAAUUCCUUUAGUAUGCCAUCCAAAUUAACUUUCUCCAUGGAUACUCUUCACCACUUUAGCCCAAAGGGAAUUCUUUUCAUUUAUAAAUCUCCAUCCCCAUUUGAACUUUUUUCGUAGGUUAUGAGUUACGAUCCUACACGUAAGCUAUUUUAGGACAUUUUGAAAGUUCAAGUGAUACUUAGACAGGUUUUUAACUCGGUUUAGGUUAGUUUGAAACUAAGUUUGUUGACCUUAUCCAAUUGGUUGCCAUUUUCGGUCUUGAAGUGCCCUUUUCACACUUUUUGAACUUUUUGGUAGGCUAUGGGUUACCAACUUACACUUAAACUUUGUUAGGUUGUUUUGAAAGUCCAAGUGAUACUUGGACACGCCUUGACCACUUUUUAGGUUGGUUUGGAACUAAGUUUGUUGCACUUGCGCACUUGGUUGCCAUUUUGGGUCGUGUAGUGUUUCCUUUUUUUCCAUACUUCUUGAACUUUUUGGUAGGUUAUGAGUGAUGAAUUUACAAAUAAACAUUCUUAGGUCGUUCUGAAAGUUCAAGUGAUACUUAAACACGGUUUUGAAAUUUUUUUAGAUUUGUUUAAGACUAAGUUUGUUUCACUUGCAUACUUGGUUGCCAUUUUAGGUCUCAAAGUGCAUUUUUCACGCAUUUUGAUUUUUUUGUUAGUUUGUGAGUUACGAACUUACACUUAACGAUUGUUAGGUCGUUUUAAACACAUUUUGCGUUGGUUUGAAACUAAGUUUGUUGCACUUACACAUUGGAUUGAAAUGUUGGGUCUUGAAGUACUUUUUUUUCACACUUUUUUGAAAUUUUUUUAGGUUGUGAGUUACGAACUUACGCUUGAGUAUUGUUUGGUCGGUUUGAAAUCUUAGACACGUUUUGCACUCUUUUUAGGAUGGCUUGAAACUAAGUCCGUUGCACUUACAUACUUCGUUGCCAUUUUGGGUCUUCAAGUGCUUUUUUUACACUUUUUGAAAUUUUGGUAGGUUGUGAGUUACAAACUUACACUUAAGCAUUGUUUGGUGGUUUUGAAAGUUUAAGUGAUACGUACACAUGUUUUGAAUACAUUUUAGGUUAGAUUGAUUUUGUUGCACUUGGUUGUCAUUUUUGGUCUUGAAAUGCUUUUUUCAACCUUUUUGGUAGAUCAUUACGAACCUACAUUUAGGAUUUGCUAGGUCGUUUUGAAAACUCAAGUAAUACCUAGACACGUUUUGAGCACGUUCUAGGUUGAUUUGAACUAAGUUUGUUACAAUUACACACUUGGUAGCCAUUUUGGGUCUUGUAGUGCUUUUUUCAUACUAUUUGAACUUUUUUCGUAGGUUAUGAGUUACGAAUCUACACGUAAGCUGUUUUAGGUCGUUUUGAAAGUUCAAGUGAUACUUAGACACAUUUUGUUCAAGUGAUACUGUAUUAGGUCGUUUUGAAGUGAACUUUUUUCUUCUUGUAUUGACUGUUUUCAUAUUUCUUCAUGGUUUGUAUUCAUGGUAUUUAUUUUCGUAAUGAAUCUUUCAUGUUCUGGUAAACAUUGCAGAAACACAUAAUUUCAGCAAUCUGUCAAAGAGUUGAAGGAGAAGACAGAAGAACUUAAAGGUCACAUGAAGACCUAAAAGUUAGGUAAUUUUUUGAAAACUUUUUUCUUUGUCUUGCUUAGUUUUAGUGGUAUUUGUUAACAGGCUGAGACAUACUCUUGUAUGCCAAGGCUGGGUGGCCAAUUCAAUGGAUGGCCUGAGACGGUGAAAUGACGAGUGUAGAACAAAGUAGACAAUCGAGCAGAUUUACAAGUAGGAGGAUGGUGUUUGGUCUUACUCAAAAGCUACUGCUAGAAAGGUGAUUCUCCCUUUAUUUACACAUGUUAUCUAUAUUUAAUUACUGUUUUUAUGUGAUGGUGAAUAAAUAUUUAAGUUGUUUCAAGUUUGUACAUCAUGCUUGAGUUAAUACAUUUCCCAACUCGCACUAAUUUUAAAGUUGAGACUAAGUUUGUUGCACUUACACACUUGGUUGCCAUUUUGGAUUUUGGAGUGCUUUUUCUACAUUUUUUGAACAUUUUGGUAGGUUAUGAUUUAUGAAGUAAGACUAAAGCAUUAUUAGGUCGUUUUUAAAGUUCGAGUGAUACUUAAACAUUUUUUGAACACCUGUUAGGUUGUUACAAACUAAGUUAGUUUUUACAUACAGCCAUGGUUGCCAUUUUGAGUCUUGAAAGAUUUUUUUUCACACUUUUUGAAAUUUUUGGUAAGUCAUGAGUUAUAAACUUACACUUAAGCGUUGUUAGGUUGUUUGAAAACUUAUACGUGUUUUGAAUACUUGUUAGGUUUGUAUAGAACUAAGUUCGUUGCACUUACACACUUGACAUUUUGGGUUUUGGAGUGUCUUUUUAAAAAAUUUUGAACUUUUUGCUAGUUUAUGACUUAUGAACUUGUAUUGAAUAUUUGUUAGGUCGUUUUGAUAAUUCAAGUGAUACUUAGAAAAUGCAACCGAGCUUAAACAAUUCCGCUCAUUUUUCUAAAAUUUUUUAGUUUAACCUAUUGAAUAAAAUUCGAUGGAAAUUCUUGUUUUCUUUUUGUAGGAAUAAAAGGAAAUGAAAUAUAACCAAACUUGGGAUCUUUGCAAACAAUCUUCCAUGAAGAAACUAGGCUACAAGUGGUUUGGGGUUUGGGUUUUUAGGGCUUAGGGCUUUUUGGGCUUAUGGCUUAGGGCUUUUAGCGCUUUUAGGGCUUUUAGGACGCUUAGGGCUUUUAGGUUUUAGGGCUUAGGGCUUUUAGGGCUUAGGGCUUUUAGGGCUUAUGGCUUUAGGGUUUAGGGUUUAGGGGUUUAGGGUUUAGGGCGCUUAGGGCUUUUAGGGAUUUUAGGGCGCUUAGGGAUUUUAGGUUUUAGGGCUUAGGGCUUUUAGGGAUUAUGGCUUAAAGCUUAGCGCUUUUAGGGCUUAGGGCUUAGGGCUUAGGGCUUUAAGGGCUUUAAGGGUAUUUAGGGAUAAGGGAUUUUAGGGCUUUUAGGGCUUUUAGGGCUUUUGGGGCUUUAAGGGCUUUUAGGGCUUAGGGCGUUUGGCUUAGGGCUUAGGGAUUAGGGCUUGGGCUUUUAGGGCUCGGGCUUUGGGCUUUUAGGACUUUUAGUGCUCUUAGGGCUUUUUGGGCGCUUAGGGCUUAUGACUUUUAAGACUUAGGGCUUUGGGCUUUUAGGGCUUUUAGGACUUUUAGGGCUUUUAGGGCGCUUAUGGCUUUUAGCUUUUAGGGCUUAGGGCUUUUUGGGCUUUUAGGGCUUAGGGCUUAGGGCUUAGGCUUUUAGGGCUUUUAGGGCUUGGGCUUUGGGCGUUUAGGGCUUUUAGGGCUUUUAGGACGCUUAGGGCUUUUAGGUUGUAGGGCUUAGGGCUUUUAGCGCUUAUGGCUUUUAGGGCUUAGCGCUUAGGGCUUAGGGCUUUUACGGCUUUUAGGGCUUUUACGACUUUUAGAGCUUUUAGGGCUGAGGUAUUAGGGCUUAGGCCUUAGGGCUGAGGGCUCAGGGCUUAGGGCUUAGGGUUUAGGGUUUAGGGUUUAGGGUUUAGGGUUUAGGGCUUAGUUCUUGUGCUUUUAUUGCUUAGGGCUUAGGGCUUGUAGGGCUUAGGGCUUAUGGCUUAGGGCUUGGGCUUUUAGGGCUUGGGCUUUGGGCUUUUAGGGUGUUUAGGGCUUUUAGGUCGCUUAAGUCGUUUAUGGCUUUUAAGGCGUUUAGGGCUUAGGGCUUUUAGGGCUUAGGGGUUUUGACUUACAACUUAGGGCUUGGGAUUUUAGGGCUUAGGGCUUGGGCUUUGGCCUUUUAGGGCUUUUAGGACUCUUAGGGCUUUUACGGCGCUUAGGGCUUUUAGGUUUUAGGGCUUAGGGCUUAGGGCUUUUAGGGCUUAUAGCUUUUUAGGGUUUAGGGUUUUUAGGGUUUUUUAGGGCUUUUAGGGCGCUUAGGGCUUAAGGCUUAUGGCUUGGGCUUUUAUGGCUUGGGCUUUGGGUUAUAGGGCUUAGGGAUUUUAGGGCUUAUGGUUUUUAGGGCUUAGGGCUUAGGGCUUAGGGCUUUUAGGGCUUAGGGGUUUUGGCUUACGGCUUAGGGCUUGGGAUUUUAGGGUUUAGGGCUUUUAGGGCUUACCGCUUAGGGCUUAGGGCUUUAGGCUUUUAGGGCGCUUGAGGAUUUUAGGGCGCUUAGGGCUUUUAGGGCUUAUAGCUUUUAGGGUUUAGGGUUUUUAGGGCUUUUAGGGUGCUUAGGGCUUGGGCUUUUAGGGCUUGGGCUUAGGGUUUUAGGGCUUGGGGAUUUUAGGGCUUAUGGCUUUAGUGUUUAGGGUUUAGGGUUUAGGGUUUAGGGCGCUUAGGACUUUUAGGGAUUUUAGGGCUCUUAGGGCUUUUAGGUUUUAAGGCUUAGGGCUUUUAGGGAUUAUGGCUUAGUGCUUUUAGGGCUUAGGGCUUUUAGGGCUUUUUGGGCUUAUGGCUUAGGGCUUUUAGCGCUUUUAGGGCUUUUAGCGUUUUUAGGGUUUUUAGGGCUCUUAGGGCUUUUAGGUUUUAGGGCUUAGGGCUUUUAGGGCUUUAGGGUUUAGGGUUUAGGGGUAUAGGGUUUAGGGCGCUUAGGGCUUUUAGGGAUUUUAGGGCGUUUAGGGAUUUUAGGUUUUAGGGCUUAGGGCUUUUAGGGAUUAUGGCUUAAAGCUUAGCGCUUUUAGGGCUUAGGGCUUAGGGCUUAGGGCUUUAAGGGCUUUAAGGGUAUUUAGGGAUAAGGGAUUUUAAGGCUUUUAGGGCAUUUAGGGCUUUUGGGGCUUUUAGGGCUUUUAGGGCUUAGGGCGUUUGGCUUAGGGCUUAGGGAUUAGGGCUUGGGCUUUUAGGGCUCGGGCUUUGGGCUUUUAGGACUUUUAGUGCUCUUAGGGCUUUUUGGGCGCUUAGGGCUUAUGACUUUUAAGACUUAGGGCUUUGGGCUUUUAGGGCUUUUAGGACUUUUAGAGCUUUUUAGGGCGCUUAUGGCUUUUAGCUUUUAGGGCUUAGGGCUUUUUUGGGCUUUUAGGGCUUAGGGCUUAGGGCUUAGGCUUUUUAGGGCUUUUAGGGGCUUGGGCUUUGGGCGUUUAGGGCUUUUAGGGCUUUUAGGACGCUUAGGGCUUUUUAGGUUGUAGGGCUUAGGGCUUUUAGCGCUUUAUGGCUUUUAGGGCUUAGCGCUUAGGUCUUAGGGCUUUUACGGCUUUUAGGGCUUUUACGACUUUUAGAGCUUUUAGGGCUGAGGUAUUAGGGCUUAGGCCUUAGGGCUUAGGCCUUAGGGCUGAGGGGUCAGGGCUUAGGGCUUAGGGUUUAGGGUUUAGGGUUUAGGGUUUAGGGUUUAGGGCUUAGUUCUUGUGCUUUUAUUGCUUAGGGCUUAGGGCUUGUAGGGCUUAGGGCUUAUGGCUUAGGGCUUGGGCUUUUAGGGCUUGGGCUUUUAGGGCUUGGGCUUUUAGGGCUUUGGGCUUUGGGCUUUUAGGGUGUUUAGGGCUUUUUAGGUCGCUUAAGUCGUUUAUGGCUUUUAAGGCGUUUAGGGCUUAGGGCUUUUAGGGCUUAGGGGUUUUGGCUUACAACUUAGGGCUUGGGAUUUUAGGGCUUAGGGCUUGGGCUUUGGCCUUUUAGGGCUUUUAGGACUCUUAGGGCUUUUACGGCGCUUAGGGCUUUUAGGUUUUAGGGCUUAGGGCUUAGGGCUUUUAGGGCUUAUAGCUUUUAGGGUUUAGGGUUUUUAGGGUUUUUAGGGCUUUUAGGGCGCUUAGGGCUUAAGGCUUAUGGCUUGGGCUUUUAUGGCUUGGGCUUUGGGUUUUAGGGCUUAGGGAUUUUAGGGCUUAUGGUUUUUAGGGCUUAGGGCUUAGGGCUUAGGGCUUUUAGGGCUUAGGGGUUUUGGCUUACGACUUAGGGCUUGGGAUUUUAGGGCUUAGGGCUUUUAGGGCUUACCGCUUAGGGCUUAGGGCUUUAGGCUUUUAGGGCGCUUGAGGGUUUUAGGGCGCUUAGGGCUUUUAGGGCUUAUAGCUUUUAGGGUUUAGGGUUUUUAGGGCUUUUAGGGUGUUUAGGGCUUGGGCUUUUAUGGCUUGGGCUUUUAGGGCUUGGGCUUAGGGUUUUAGGGCUUGGGGAUUUUAGGGCUUAUGGCUUUAGUGUUUAGGGUUUAAGGUUUAGGGUUUAGGGCGCUUAGGACUUUUAGGGAUUUUAGGGCUCUUAGGGCUUUUAGGUUUUAAGGCUUAGGGCUUUUAGGGAUUAUGGCUUACUGCUUUUAGGGCUUAGGGCUUUUAGGGCUUUUUGGGCUUAUGGCUUAGGGCUUUUAGCGCUUUUAGGGCUUUUAGGGCUCUUAGGGCUUUUAGGUUUUAGGGCUUAGGGCUUUUAGGGCUUUAGGGUUUAGGGUUUAGGGGUUUAGGGUUUAGGGUUUAGGGCGCUUAGGGCUUUUAGGGAUUUUAGGGCGCUUAGGGAUUUUAGGUUUUAGGGCUUAGGGCUUUUAGGGAUUAUGGCUUAAAGCUUAGCGCUUUUAGGGCUUAGAGCUUAGGGCUUAGGGCUUUAAGGGCUCUAAGGGUAUUUAGGGAUAAGGGAUUUUAGGGCUUUUAGGGCAUUUAGGGCUUUGGGCGUUUAGGGCUUUUAGGGCUUUUAGGACGCUUAGGGCUUUUAGGUUGUAGGGCUUAGGGCUUUUAGCGCUUAUGGCUUUUAGGGCUUAGCGCUUAGGGCUUAGGGCUUUUACGGCUUUUAGGGCUUUUAAGAAUUUUAGAGCUUUUAGGGCUGAGGUAUUAGGGCUUAGGCCUUAGGGCUUAAGCCUUAGGGCUGAGGGGUCAGGGCUUAGGGCUUAGGGUUUAGGGUUUAGGGUUUAGGGUUUAGGGUUUAGGGUUUAGGGCUUAGUUCUUGUGCUUUUAUUGCUUAGGGCUUAGGGCUUGUAGGGCUUAGGGCUUAUGGCUUAGGGCUUGGGCUUUUAGGGCUUGGGCUUUGGGCUUUUAGGGUGUUUAGGGCUUUUAGGUCGCUUAAGUCGUUUAUGGCUUUUAAGGCGUUUAGGGCUUAAGGCUUUUAGGGCUUAGGGGUUUUGGCUUACGACUUAGGGCUUGGGAUUUUAGGGCUUAGGGCUUGGGCUUUGGCCUUUUAGGGCUUUUAGGACUGUUAGGGCUUUUACGGCGCUUAGGGCUUUUAGGUUUUAGGGCUUAGACUUAGGGCUUUUAGGGCUUAUAGCUUUUAGGGUUUAGGGUUUUUAGGGUUUUUAGGGCUUUUAGGGCGCUUAGGGCUUAAGGCUUAUGGCUUGGGCUUUUAUGGCUUGGGCUUUGGGUUUUAGGGCUUAGGGAUUUUAGGGCUUAUGGUUUUUAGGGCUUAGGGCUUAGGGCUUAGGGCUUUUAGGGCUUAGGGGUUUUGGCUUACGGCUUAGGGCUUGGGAUUUUAGGGCUUAGGGCUUUUAGGGCUCACCGCAUAGGGCUUAGGGCUUUAGGCUUUUAGGGCGCUUGAGGGUUUUAGGGCGCUUAGGGCUUUUAGGGCUUAUAGCUUUUAGGGUUUAGGGUUUUUAGGGCUUUUAGGGUGCUUAGGGCUUGGGCUUUUAUGGCUUGGGCUUUGGGUUUUAGGGCUUAGGGAUUUUAGGGCUUUUAGGGCAUUUAGGGCUUUUGGGGCUUUUAGGGCUUAGGGCGUUUGGCUUAGGGCUUAGGGAUUAGGGCUUGGGCUUUUAGGGCUCGGGCUUUGGGCUUUUUAGGACUUUUAGUGCUCUUAGGGCUUUUUGGGCGCUUAGGGCUUAUGACUUUUAAGACUUAGGGCUUUGGGCUUUUUGGGCUUUUAGGGCUUUUAGGACUUUUAGGGCUUUUAGGGCGCUUAUGGCUUUUAGCUUUUAGGGCUUAGGGCUUUUUGGGCUUUUAGGGCUUAGGGCUUAGGGCUUAGGCUUUUAGGGCUUUUAGGGCUUGGGCUUUGGGCGUUUAGGGCUUUUAGGGUUUUUAGAACGCUUAGGGCUUUUAGGUUGUAGGGCUUAGGGCUUUAGCGCUUAUGGCUUUUAGGGCUUAGGGCUUAGGGCUUAGGGCUUAGGGUUUAGGGUUUAGGGUUUAGGGUUUAGGGCUUAGUUCUUGUGCUUUUAUUGCUUAGGGCUUAGUUCUUGUGCUUUUAUUGCUUAGGGCUUAGGGCUUGUAGGGCUUAGGGCUUAUGGCUUAGGGCUUGGGCUUUUAGGGCUUGGGUUUUUAGGGCUUGGGCUUUGGGCUUUUAGGGCGUUUAGGGCUUUUAGGUCGCUUAAGUCGUUUAUGGCUUUUAAGGCGUUUAGGGCUUAGGGCUUUUAGGGCUUAGGGGUUUUGGCUUACGACUUAGGGCUUGGGAUUUUAGGGCUUAGGGCUUGGGCUUUGGCCUUUUAGGGCUUUUAGGAAUUUUAGGGCUUUUACGGCGCUUAGGGCUUUUAGGUUUUAGGGCUUAGGGCUUAGGGCUUUUAGGGCUUAUAGCUUUUAGGGUUUAGGGUUUUUAGGGUUUUUAGGGUUUUUAGGGCGCUUAGGGCUUAGGGCUUAUGGCUUGGGCUUUUAUGGCUUGGGCUUUGGGUUUUAGGGCUUAGGGAUUUUAGGGCUUUUAGGGCAUUUAGGGCUUUUGGGGCUUUUAGGGCUUAGGGGCGUUUGGCUUAGGGCUUAGGGAUUAGGGCUUGGGCUUUUAGGGCUCGGGCUUUGGGCUUUUAGGACUUUUAGUGCUCUUAGGGCUUUUUGGGCGCUUAGGGCUUAUGACUUUUAAGACUUAGGGCUUUAGGCUUUUUGGGCUUUUAGGGCUUUUAGGACUUUUAGGGCUUUUAGGGCGCUUAUGGCUUUUAGCUUUUAGGGCUUAGGGCUUUUUGGGCUUUUAGGGCUUAGGGCUUAGGGCUUAGGCUUUUAGGGCUUUUAGGGCUUGGGCUUUGGGCGUUUAGGGCUUUUAGGGCUUUUAGGACGCUUAGGGCUUUUAGGUUGUAGGGCUUAGGGCUUUUAGCGCUUAUGGCUUUUAGGGCUUAGCGCUUAGGGCUUAGGGCUUUUACGGCUUUUUAGGGCUUUUACGACUUUUAGAGCUUUUAGGGCUGAGGUAUUAGGGCUUAGGCCUUAGGGCUUAGGCCUUAGGGCUGAGGGUGUCAGGGCUUAGGGCUUAGGGUUUAGGGUUUAGGGUUUAGGGUUUAGGGUUUAGGGCUUAGUUCUUGUGCUUUUAUUGCUUAGGGCUUAGGGCUUGUAGGGCUUAGGGCUUAUGGCUUAGGGCUUGGGCUUUUAGGGCUUGGGCUUUUAGGGCUUGGGCUUUGGGCUUUUAGGGUGUUUAGGGCUUUUAGGUCGCUUAAGUCGUUUAUGGCUUUUAAGGCGUUUAGGGCUUAGGGCUUUUAGGGCUUAGGGGGUUUUGGCUUACGACUUAGGGCUUGGGAUUUUAGGGCUUAGGGCUUGGGCUUUGGCCUUUUAGGGCUUUUAGGACUGUUAGGGCUUUUACGGCGCUUAGGGCUUUUAGGUUUUAGGGCUUAGACUUAGGGCUUUUAGGGCUUAUAGCUUUUAGGGUUUAGGGUUUUUAGGGUUUUUAGGGCUUUUAGGGCGCUUAGGGCUUAAGGCUUAUGGCUUGGGCUUUUAUGGCUUGGGCUUUGGGUUUUAAGGCUUAGGGAUUUUAGGGCUUAUGGUUUUUAGGGCUUAGGGCUUAGGGCUUAGGGCUUUUAGGGCUUAGGGGUUUUGGCUUACGGCUUAGGGCUUGGGAUUUUAGGGCUUAGGGCUUUUAGGGCUCACCGCUUGGCGCUUAGGGCUUUAGGCUUUUAGGGCGCUUGAGGGUUUUAGGGCGCUUAGGGCGCUUAGGGCUUUUAGGGCUUAUAGCUUUUAGGGUUUAGGGUUUUUUAGGGCUUUUAGGGUGCUUAGGGCUUGGGCUUUUAUGGCUUGGGCUUUGGGUUUUAGGGCUUAGGGAUUUUAGGGCUUUUAGGGCAUUUAGGGCUUUUGGGGCUUUUAGGGCUUAGGGCGUUUGGCUUAGGGCUUAGGGAUUAGGGCUUGGGCUUUUAGGGCUCGGGCUUUGGGCUUUUAGGACUUUUAGUGCUCUUAGGGCUUUUUGGGCGCUUAGGGCUUAUGACUUUUAAGACUUAGGGCUUUGGGCUUUUUUGGCUUUUAGGACUUUUAGGGCUUUUAGGGCGCUUAUGGCUUUUAGCUUUUAGGGCUUAGGGCUUUUUGGGCUUUUAGGGCUUAGGGCUUAGGGCUUAGGCUUUUUAGGGCUUUUAGGGCUUGGGCUUUGGGCGUUUUAGGGCUUUUAGGGCUUUUAGAACGCUUAGGGCUUUUAGGUUGUAGGGCUUAGGGCUUUUAGCGCUUAUGGCUUUUAGGGCUUAGGGCUUAGGGCUUAGGGCUUAGGGUUUAGGGUUUAGGGUUUAGGGUUUAGGGCUUAGUUUCUUGUGCUUUUAUUGCUUAGGGCUUAGUUCUUGUGCUUUUAUUGCUUAGGGCUUAGGGCUUGUAGGGCUUAGGGCUUAUGGCUUAGGGCUUGGGCUUUUAGGGCUUGGGUUUUUAGGGCUUGGGCUUUGGGCUUUUAGGGCGUUUAGGGCUUUUAGGUCGCUUAAGUCGUUUAUGGCUUUUAAGGCGUUUAGGGCUUAGGGCUUUUAGGGCUUAGGGGUUUUGGCUUACGACUUAGGGCUUGGGAUUUUAGGGCUUAGGGCUUGGGCUUUGGUCUUUUAGGGCUUUUAGGAUUUUUAGGGCUUUUACGACGCUUAGGGCUUUUAGGUUUUAGGGCUUAGGGCUUAGGGCUUUUAGGGCUUAUAGCUUUUAGGGUUUAGGGUUUUUAGGGUUUUUAGGGCUUUUAGGGCGCUUAGGGCUUAGGACUUAUGGCUUGGGCUUUUAUGGCUUGGGCUUUGGGUUUUAGGGCUUAGGGAUUUUAGGGCUUUUAGGGCAUUUAGGGCUUUUGGGGCUUUUAGGGCUUAGGGCGUUUGGCUUAGGGCUUAGGGAUUAGGGCUUGGGCUUUUAGGGCUCGGGCUUUGGGCUUUUAGGACUUUUAGUGCUCUUAGGGCUUUUUGGGCGCUUAGGGCUUAUGACUUUUAAGACUUAGGGCUUUAGGCUUUUAGGGCUUUUAGGACUUUUAGGGCUUUUAGGGCGCUUAUGGCUUUUAGCUUUUAGGGCUUAGGGCUUUUUGGGCUUUUAGGGCUUAGGGCUUAGGGCUUAGGCUUUUAGGGCUUUUAGGGCUUGGGCUUUGGGCGUUUAGGGCUUUUAGGGCUUUUAGGACGCUUAGGGCUUUUAGGUUCGUAGGGCUUAGGGCUUUUAGCGCUUAUGGCUUUUAGGGCUUAGCGCUUAGGGCUUAGGGCUUUUACGGCUUUUAGGGCUUUUACGACUUUUAGGGCUUUUAGGGCUGAGGUCUUAGGGCUUAGGCCUUAGGGCUUAGGCCUUAGGGCUGAGGGCUCAGGGCUUAGGGCUUAGGGCUUAGGGUUUAGGGCUUAGGGCUUAGUUCUUGUGCUUUUAUUGCUUAGGGCUUAGGGCUUGUAGGGCUUAGGGCUUAUGGCUUAGGGCUUGGGCUUUUAGGGCUUGGGUUUUUAGGGCUUGGGCUUUGGGCUUUUAGGGCGUUUAGGGCUUUUAGGUCGCUUAAGUCGUUGAUUGCUUUUAAGGCGUUUAGGGCUUAGGGCUUUUAGGGCUUAGAGGUUUUGGCUUACGACUUAGGGCUUGGGAUUUUAGGGCUUAGGGCUUGGGUUUUGGCCUUUUAGGGCUUUUAGGAUUUUUAGGGCUUUUACCGGCGCUUAGGGCUUUUAGGUUUUAGGGCUUAGGGCUUAGGCGCUUUUAGGGCUUAUAGCUUUUAGAGGGUUUAGGGUUUUUAGGGUUUUUAGGGCUUUUAGGGCGCUUAGGGCUUAGGACUUAUGGCUUGGGCUUUGGGUUUUAGGGCUUAGGGAUUUUAGGGCUUAUGGUUUUUAGGGCUUAGGGCUUAGGGCUUAGGGGUUUUGGCUUACGGCUUAGGGCUUAGGGCUUGGGCUUUGGCCUUUUAAGGCUUUUAGGACUUUUAGGGCUUUUACGGCGCUUAGGGCGCUUAGGGCUUUCAGGUUUUAGGGCUUAGGGCUUUAGGCUUUUAGGGCGCUUGAGGGUUUUAGGGCGCUUAGGGCUUUUAGGGCUUAUAGCUUUUAGGGUUUAGGGUUUUUAGGGCUUUUAGGGCGCUUAGGGCUUAGGGCUUAGGGCUUGGGCUUUUAUGGCUUGGGCUUUUAGGGCUUGGGCUUAGGGUUUUAGGGCUUGGGGAUUUUAGGGCUUAUGGCUUUAGAGUUUAGGGGUUUUGGGUUUAGGGCGCUUAGGACUUUUAGGGACUUUAGGGCUCUUAGGGCUUUUAGGUUUUAAGGCUUAUGGCUUUUAGGGAUUAUGGCUAAGUGCUUUUAGGGCUUAACGCUUUUAGGAGGACUUAGGGCUUUUAGGGCUUUUAGGGCUUAGGGCUUUUGGUGCUUUUGGGGCUUUUAGGGCUUAGGGCCUUUGGCUUAGUGCUUGGGGAUUAUAGCUUGGGCUUUUAGGGCUCGGGCUUUGGGCUCUUAGGGCUUUUAGGGCGCUUAGGGCUUUUAGGUCUUUUAGGGAUUAGGGUUUGGGCUUUUAGGGCUUGUGCUUUGGGCUUUUGGGAUUUUAGGGUUUAGGGCUUGUGCUUUUAGGGCUUGGGCUUUGCGCUUUUAGGACUUUUAGGGCUUUUACAGCGCUUAGGGCGCUUAGGACUUAGGGCUUAGGGCUUUUAGGGCUUAGGGCUCAUUGAGGAACUGGAUUUAUCUAAUGAGUAUAGGUAAAAUGGUUUUUUAUAUUGGAUUUGAUCAAUGCAAUGAAUUGUUUUAUCAUAAGACCGAUCCCUAAUUAAAUUGAUGAUCCCCAUCCUAACGAAAUGAAUUUGAUUCAUACAUGUACACACACGAACUGAACAUAGAUACAUUCACCGAAUCAUUGAUAAAGCAAUUCUACUUGGCGAGGAAAAAAUUUUCAAUAACUUGUUGAUCCCUAUCUCCAAAUUUUAAAAUUUAUCGUUCUUGAAUUUCUUGGCUUAGUGUGAAAUCGAAAUAUACCUAACCUAAUCUUAACAAUGAGUUAAUCAAUGAGUGAAAGUAUGAGAAAUGGAGUUUAAUCCCGUUUAUAGCAUAUUACAGACCAAUCACUUCCCGAAGGGUACUAGCCUUCGCAUUAUUUAAAUAAAAAAAGAAUAUUUUUUUUUGAAUAUUUAUUAUUUUUGUUUAUUUUAGACGUUUCUUCUAAUCACUACUAAUCACUAUUUUCAUUUUAUAUUCUAUAAUAAGUAAUAUAACUAUAUAUUCCAAUUUGCAAAUUUAUGUAUAUUAUUUAAAUUAAAUAAAUAAAUAAAAGAAAUUAAAUAAAUAAAUAAAUAAUGCAAUUGAAUUUUAAAUAAAAGAAUUUCUUCCCCUACUUCUUCUCUAACGGCUCUCUCUCUACUUUCUCGUCCUCUCCCCUUCUCUUAUCUUCUUCGUCUUCCUCAAAAUCGCGAUUCACGACCAUCUUCUUCUCCUGGCCCUAACAGCGCUGGAUUUCUCAACUGUCGAUCGAGUGACAAUCAUGCCUGCCUGCUUGACAAAGCCUUUUCGGUCUACCAAUAAAGGAAAAACGAUUGCUGGUGACACGAAGGCUGUGCUCGACGCUCUUUUUCUUAUUCCACUGCGCGUCGUGGUCUUUCCCUUGCUGGUUGGAUGACUACUAUGGACGAAGAGCACAAUUACUUCCAGUCUCUGGUCGAUAAGUACCCAAGGAAGGUAAAUUCCAGCGAAGAAAGUCGAGAGCUCCUUAGUUGAUCACAAAUCCUUCCAAAUUCUUUGUUCGUAGACUAAUUUGAAAUCCUUCCAAUAUGGAUCCAUGCUGUCUUUUAUAUCCAUAAGAUACCAAUUAGAUUGUGUUAAUUAUUGUUUAUAAGAAAAUAUUUGUGUGCAGAGUUGCCGUGGGUAAAUCUUAAUGGCUGGCAGAAAAUUGGUUCGGGAUAUAUUACUCUCAAGACAAAGUAUUUUUUAUCAGUUUACUUCCCAUGGGGUAUUUGCUCUUCCUAUGCUUUAUCCUUAUCCCGUCUUUCUCCGCUGUAGUCUUUAUAGGAUCGAUUUCUGUGGUGUAAAUUUAUUCAUCUAGUUUGUUUAAUUUAUGGUUUCAUUUAGGGAGAAGGUAAAUUACAUAAGCCAACGUAGUUAUGGAAAACAUCUCCAAUUUACAGCAAGUUAAAGAAAAAAAAAAAGAAGAGAAAAACAGCAGUUAAAAAAACUGGGCAUCUUGCUUUUUUCUUAUUGAAAGUUUGGCCGUUUCUUUCAAGUCAAAUUGACCACAAAAUGCUCAAAUGAGAUUCUUCAAUAGGAAUAUGUAAAAAAAAUAUAAUAUGUAAAAGAAUUUUUGUGAAACGUGGGAGAGAAGCGGUAACAUUAUCCUUCAAAAAAUUCAGGAGUAAAUAUUUAUGUGAAAGGACAUAUUAUUUGGCCAUUUGACCUUAUUUGUUAUUGAAUUAUUUGGUUGGAAAUGAUAAACUACACAUUAUUGUUUGCUUCAGUUGUGAUCUUGAUUAUGGGCUAUUUGGUAUUUUGCUUACAAACUGUAUAGUUAAUUAUCUGUUAGCUUUUGUUUUCCUGUCACAGCUUUAUGUUUAUGUGGCUCAUUGUAGCCGAAAGUUUUAUUUAUCAAUCUUAUUUUUCAUAGCAUAAAUGAAACUGUGUUUGAAGAAUCAGGUGCUGCUACAUCAUUCAAGGAAAUUCGUCGUAGAGGUUCGUAAGUUUUUUCCUUUGGAGAUGUGAUACUAACCUGUUUGAAUAAAGGAAUCUGACUUGGUCUUUUCCUCUUUAACAUUAUGGAUUAGGUCUUUCUCUUUACCAGAUUUCGUAGCUGAACUUUAAGAAGCAAUCAAACCGGUGUUAACUUCUUAUAUAAAGGUUAGUGCUAACUGCUAAGCUUAUUUCUAAGAUGAAAGAUGCUUUUAUCCCCUCCCCAAAGAAUAUCAUUACUAUUUAUGUUGUAUUUCUGCUAACUAAUUCUUGCAUAGCAUCUGGUUUGAUAAAUAAAGUAAAGUUUCUGACAUGGAGGUUUUCAAGUUGGAAUAUAUAUUUAUGUUUUAGGUAGAUUCCCAAACUUUGAAGAAACGCUGCAGUACUGAGGUAAUUGAACGUUGUAAGGCAGAGCAUUGGGCUUACCAGAGCCAAGGUAUCUUCUUCGAUAACAAGUAAGGAUAGUCCUGAUACUACCUUUCUUUUGUUAUUGAAAUUUAUUGUUCCUUUUGUUGGGGGCUUGGUGGUUGUGCACCUAUAUUGAUUUGUACUUCUGUUAAUUAAUUAUAGUCAUUCUCUCUUGUCUGAGUAAUUAUUGUCAACCAUUUUGUUAGCAAAGGCUUCCCAUGGAAAUUCAGUUUGUUGUGCUGCAUGUCCACGAUGAUUUUCGUGAUUUUAGUUUUAGAUACAUAAAAAGGGCCUUUGCAUCACGACAUGAAUGACUACUUUUUAAUAUGAACCUACAAUACCCCAAAUGAAUGCUGAAGUAAGUUUAUUGAUGUAUGUAAUUUACAACAAUCUUUUUGAACUUUUUGGUAGGUUAUGAAUUACGAACUUGUAUUGAAUAUUUGUUAGGUCGUUUUAAUAAUUCAAGUGAUGCUUAGAAAAUGCAACCGAGCUUAAACAAUUCUGCACAUUUUUCUAAAAUUUUUAGUUUAACCUCUUUAAUAAAAUUCGAUGGAAAUUCUUGUUUUCUUUUUGUAGGAAUAAAGGAAAAUGAAAUAUAACCAAACUUGGGAUCUUUGCAAGCAAGCUUCCAUGAAGAAACUAGGUUACAAGGGGAGGUCUUCUGUUCUCCUUUUUUUUCUUUCCAUCCGUAGAAUCUUGCUUAAAAUGCUUUGAGGACAAUGCAAAUUUUUAAGUGGGGGGUGGGGUUGUAGCCUUGCACAUUCCAUGUCCUUUGGGAAAUUUUCAUUUUGCAAAUUUUGCUAAAAAUGUCAAAAUUUAGAAACUUUUGCAAUGCUCUAUGCUUAGAAUAAGUACCAUGUCUACUUCGCUUUUUAGCAUAAAAAAGCAUAUAUGCCUAACCCAUGAGAACGGAGCUCGGAUUUGUGAUUGUAUUUGUUAUUUGAAUAUGUUACAUAUGUUGAAAAUGCAUAUAUUGAUAGCUUAGAAAUGAGUAGAACACUUGGUUCAUUUUCUGAAUAUUGUGAAUUAUGUACAUAAUAAUAUGUGCGGUUGCCUUUUUUAUCUCAAUUUUAAUCCCCUUUUUUGCCAUAUUCUACUGCCUUUUUUAUAUUAAUUUUAAAUCCCUCUUUUGGCCAUACACAUUUGUAUAAGAUUGUUUGAAAGCAAAAUAUGAUUGUUAGGUCAAGUAGAAAGCAAAGUCGGCAAGUUCUUAGAGUUCUUCACCCAACAUAACAGCCGAUAAAAACAAAACAAUACGACCAAGCUGCUUAGAGUUGCAAAACCCGACCCCCGCCUAGUGGGUCACUAGAGUUCUUCACCCAGCAUGGCAGCCGGUAGAGAGGGAGAGAGAAAAAAAAGAGGGAGCCAAGCCAGCCGCUUAGGUCAAGUAAAAUGCGCGCGAGAUCCCCGGUUUCAGAAUUUUCGUGGGGAUCCUCUCCGCUUUUCUUGCCUAAGCAAAACCGACCCCGCCUAGUAGGUUCUUAGAGUUCUUCACCCAUCAUGGCAGCCGGUAGAGAGGGAGAGAAAAAAAAAAGGGAGCCAAGCCAGCCGCUUAGGUCAAGUAAAAUGCGCGCCGAGAUCCCCGGUUUCAGAAUUUUCGUGGGGAUCCUCUCCGCUUUUCUUGCCUAAGCAAAACCCGACCCGCCUAGUAGGUCUUAGAGUUUUCACCCAGCAUGGCAGCCGUAGAGAGGGAGAGAGAAAAAAAGAGGGAGCCAAGCCAGCCGCUUAGGUCAAGUAAAAUGCGCGCCGAGAUCCCCCGUUUCAGAAUUUUCGUGGGGAUCCUCUCCGCUUUUCUUGCCUAAGCAAAACCCGACCCGCCUAGUAGGUCCUUAGAGUUUUUCACCCAGCAUGGCAGCCGGUAGAGAGGGAGAGAAAAAAAAGAGGGAGCCAAGCCAGCCGCUUAGGUCAAGUAAAAUGCGCGCCGAGAUCCCCCGGUUUCAGAAUUUUCGUGGGAUCCUCUCCGCUUUUCUUGCCUAAGCAAAACCCGACCCCCCUAGUAGGUCUUAGAGUUUUUCACCCAGCAUGGCAGCCGGUAGAGAGGGAGAGAGAAAAAAAGAGGGAGCCAAGCCAGCCGCUUAGGUCAAGUAAAAUGCGCGCCGAGAUCCCCCGGUUUCAGAAUUUUCGUGGGGAUCCUCUCCGCUUUUCUUGCCUAAGCAAAACCCGACCCGCCUAGUAGGUCCUUAGAGUUUUUCACCCAGCAUGGCAGCCGGUAGAGAGGGAGAGAGAAAAAAAAGAGGGAGCCAAGCCAGCCGCUUAGGUCAAGUAAAAUGCGCGCCGAGAUCCCCCGGUUUCAGAAUUUUCGUGGGGAUCCUCUCCGCUUUUCUUGCCUAAGCAAAACCCGACCCCGCCUAGUAGGUCCUUAGAGUUUUCACCCAGCAUGGCAGCCGGUAGAGAGGGAGAGAAAAAAAAGAGGGAGCCAAGCCAGCCGCUUAGGUCAAGUAAAAUGCGCGCCGAGAUCCCCGGUUUCAGAAUUUUCGUGGGGAUCCUCUCCGCUUUUCUUGCCUAAGCAAAACCCGACCCGCCUAGUAGGUCCUUAGAGUUUUUCACCCAGCAUGGCAGCCGGUAGAGAGGGAGAGAGAAAAAAAAGAGGGAGCCAAGCCAGCCGCUUAGGUCAAGUAAAAUGCGCGCCGAGAUCCCCGGUUUCAGAAUUUUCGUGGGGAUCCUCUCCGCUUUUCUUGCCUAAGCAAAACCCGACCCGCCUAGUAGGUCCUUAGAGUUUUUCACCCAGCAUGGCAGCCGGUAGAGAGGGAGAGAAAAAAAAAGAGGGAGCCAAGCCAGCCGCUUAGGUCAAGUAAAAUGCGCGCCGAGAUCCCCCGGUUUCAGAAUUUUCGUGGGGAUCCUCUCCGCUUUUCUUGCCUAAGCAAAACCCGACCCGCCUAGUAGGUCCUUAGAGUUUUCACCCAUCAUGGCAGCCGGUAGAGAGGGAGAGAGAAAAAAAAGAGGGAGCCAAGCCAGCCGCUUAGGUCAAGUAAAAUGCGCGCGCGAGAUCCCCGGUUUCAGAAUUUUCGUGGGGAUCCUCUCCGCUUUUCUUGCCUAAGCAAAACCCGACCCGCCUAGUAGGUCCUUAGAGUUUUUCACCCAGCAUGGCAGCCGGUAGAGAGGGAGAGAAAAAAAAGAGGGAGCCAAGCCAGCCGCUUAGGUCAAGUAAAAUGCGCGCCGAGAUCCCCCGGUUUCAGAAUUUUCGUGGGGAUCCUCUCCGCUUUUCUUGCCUAAGCAAAACCCGACCUAGUAGGUCCUUAGAGUUUUUCACCCAGCAUGGCAGCCGGUAGAGAGGGAGAGAGAAAAAAAAGAGGGAGCCAAGCCAGCCGCUUAGGUCAAGUAAAAUGCGCGCCGAGAUCCCCGGUUUCAGAAUUUUCGUGGGGAUCCUCUCCGCUUUUCUUGCCUAAGCAAAACCCGACCCGCCUAGUAGGUCCUUAGAGUUUUUCACCCAGCAUGGCAGCCGGUAGAGAGGGAGAGAAAAAAAAGAGGGAGCCAAGCCAGCCGCUUAGGUCAAGUAAAAUGCGCGCCGAGAUCCCCCGUUUCAGAAUUUUCGUGGGGAUCCUCUCCGCUUUUCUUGCCUAAGCAAAACCCGACCCGCCUAGUAGGUCCUUAGAGUUUUCACCCAUCAUGGCAGCCGGUAGAGAGGGAGAGAAAAAAAAAGAGGGAGCCAAGCCAGCCGCUUAGGUCAAGUAAAAUGCGCGCCGAGAUCCCCGGUUUCAGAAUUUUCGUGGGGAUCCUCUCCGCUUUUCUUGCCUAAGCAAAACCCGACCCGCCUAGUAGGUCCUUAGAGUUUUCACCCAGCAUGGCAGCCGGUAGAGAGGGAGAGAGAAAAAAAAGAGGGAGCCAAGCCAGCCGCUUAGGUCAAGUAAAAUGCGCGCCGAGAUCCCCCGGUUUCAGAAUUUUCGUGGGGAUCCUCUCCGCUUUUCUUGCCUAAGCAAAACCCGACCCGCCUAGUAGGUUCUUAGAGUUCUUCACCCAUCAUGGCAGCCGGUAGAGAGGGAGAGAGAAAAAAAAGAGGGAGCCAAGCCAGCCGCUUAGGUCAAGUAAAAUGCGCGCCGAGAUCCCCCGGUUUCAGAAUUUUCGUGGGAUCCUCUCCGCUUUUCUUGCCUAAGCAAAACCCGACCCGCCUAGUAGGUCCUUAGAGUUUUCACCCAGCAUGGCAGCCGGUAGAGAGGGAGAGAAAAAAAAGAGGGAGCCAAGCCAGCCGCUUAGGUCAAGUAAAAUGCGCGCCGAGAUCCCCGGUUUCAGAAUUUUCGUGGGGAUCCUCUCCGCUUUUCUUGCCUAAGCAAAACCCGACCCGCCUAGUAGGUCUUAGAGUUUUUCACCCAGCAUGGCAGCCGGUAGAGAGGGAGAGAGAAAAAAAGAGGGAGCCAAGCCAGCCGCUUAGGUCAAGUAAAAUGCGCGCCGAGAUCCCCCGGUUUCAGAAUUUUCGUGGGGAUCCUCUCCGCUUUUCUUGCCUAAGCAAAACCCGACCCCGCCUAGUAGGUUCUUAGAGUUCUUCACCCAUCAUGGCAGCCGGUAGAGAGGAGAGAGAAAAAAAAGAGGGAGCCAAGCCAGCCGCUUAGGUCAAGUAAAAUGCGCGCCGAGAUCCCCGGUUUCAGAAUUUUCGUGGGGAUCCUCUCCGCUUUUCUUGCCUAAGCAAAACCCGACCCCGCCUAGUAGGUCUUAGAGUUCUUCACCCAUCAUGGCAGCCGUAGAGAGGGAGAGAAAAAAAAAGAGGGAGCCAAGCCAGCCGCUUAGGUCAAGUAAAAUGCGCGCCGAGAUCCCCCGGUUUCAGAAUUUCGUGGGGAUCCUCUCCGCUUUUCUUGCCUAAGCAAAACCCGACCCGCCUAGUAGGUCCUUAGAGUUUUCACCCAGCAUGGCAGCCGUAGAGAGGGAGAGAGAAAAAAAGAGGGAGCCAAGCCAGCCGCUUAGGUCAAGUAAAAUGCGCGCCGAGAUCCCCCGGUUUCAGAAUUUUCGUGGGGAUCCUCUCCGCUUUUCUUGCCUAAGCAAAACCCGACCCGCCUAGUAGGUCCUUAGAGUUUUCACCCAGCAUGGCAGCCGGUAGAGAGGGAGAGAGAAAAAAAAGAGGGAGCCAAGCCAGCCGCUUAGGUCAAGUAAAAUGCGCGCCGAGAUCCCCCGGUUUCAGAAUUUUCGUGGGGAUCCUCUCCGCUUUUCUUGCCUAAGCAAAACCCGACCCGCCUAGUAGGUCCUUAGAGUUUUUCACCCAGCAUGGCAGCCGGUAGAGAGGGAGAGAGAAAAAAAGAGGGAGCCAAGCCAGCCGCUUAGGUCAAGUAAAAUGCGCGCCGAGAUCCCCCGGUUUCAGAAUUUUCGUGGGAUCCUCUCCGCUUUUCUUGCCUAAGCAAAACCCGACCCCCUAGUAGGUCCUUAGAGUUUUCACCCAGCAUGGCAGCCGGUAGAGAGGGAGAGAGAAAAAAAAGAGGGAGCCAAGCCAGCCGCUUAGGUCAAGUAAAAUGCGCGCCGAGAUCCCCCGGUUUCAGAAUUUUCGUGGGGAUCCUCUCCGCUUUUCUUGCCUAAGCAAAACCCGACCCCGCCUAGUAGGUCUUAGAGUUCUUCACCCAGCAUGGCAGCCGGUAGAGAGGGAGAGAAAAAAAAAAGAGGGAGCCAAGCCAGCCGCUUAGGUCAAGUAAAAUGCGCGCCGAGAUCCCCCGUUUCAGAAUUUUCGUGGGAUCCUCUCCGCUUUUCUUGCCUAAGCAAAACCCGACCCGCCUAGUAGGUCCUUAGAGUUUUUCACCCAGCAUGGCAGCCGGUAGAGAGGGAGAGAGAAAAAAAAGAGGGAGCCAAGCCAGCCGCUUAGGUCAAGUAAAAUGCGCGCCGAGAUCCCCGGUUUCAGAAUUUUCGUGGGAUCCUCUCCGCUUUUCUUGCCUAAGCAAAACCCGACCCGCCUAGUAGGUUCUUAGAGUUCUUCACCCAUCAUGGCAGCCGGUAGAGAGGGAGAGAGAAAAAAAAGAGGGAGCCAAGCCAGCCGCUUAGGUCAAGUAAAAUGCGCGCCGAGAUCCCCGGUUUCAGAAUUUUCGUGGGGAUCCUCUCCGCUUUUCUUGCCUAAGCAAAACCCGACCCGCCUAGUAGGUCCUUAGAGUUUUCACCCAGCAUGGCAGCCGGUAGAGAGGGAGAGAAAAAAAAGAGGGAGCCAAGCCAGCCGCUUAGGUCAAGUAAAAUGCGCGCCGAGAUCCCCCGGUUUCAGAAUUUUCGUGGGGAUCCUCUCCGCUUUUCUUGCCUAAGCAAAACCCGACCCGCCUAGUAGGUCCUUAGAGUUUUCACCCAGCAUGGCAGCCGGUAGAGAGGGAGAGAGAAAAAAAGAGGGAGCCAAGCCAGCCGCUUAGGUCAAGUAAAAUGCGCGCCGAGAUCCCCCGGUUUCAGAAUUUUCGUGGGGAUCCUCUCCGCUUUUCUUGCCUAAGCAAAACCCGACCCGCCUAGUAGGUCCUUAGAGUUUUCACCCAGCAUGGCAGCCGGUAGAGAGGGAGAGAGAAAAAAAAGAGGGAGCCAAGCCAGCCGCUUAGGUCAAGUAAAAUGCGCGCCGAGAUCCCCCGGUUUCAGAAUUUUCGUGGGGAUCCUCUCCGCUUUUCUUGCCUAAGCAAAACCCGACCCGCCUAGUAGGUCCUUAGAGUUUUCACCCAGCCAUGGCAGCCGGUAGAGAGGGAGAGAGAAAAAAAAGAGGGAGCCAAGCCAGCCGCUUAGGUCAAGUAAAAUGCGCGCCGAGAUCCCCCGGUUUCAGAAUUUUCGUGGGAUCCUCUCCGCUUUUCUUGCCUAAGCAAAACCCGACCCGCCUAGUAGGUCCUUAGAGUUUUCACCCAUGGCAGCCGGUAGAGAGGGAGAGAAAAAAAAGAGGGAGCCAAGCCAGCCGCUUAGGUCAAGUAAAAUGCGCGCCGAGAUCCCCCGGUUUCAGAAUUUUCGUGGGGAUCCUCUCCGCUUUUCUUGCCUAAGCAAAACCCGACCCCGCCUAGUAGGUCUUAGAGUUCUUCACCCAGCAUGGCAGCCGGUAGAGAGGGAGAGAAAAAAAAAGAGGGAGCCAAGCCAGCCGCUUAGGUCAAGUAAAAUGCGCGCCGAGAUCCCCGGUUUCAGAAUUUUCGUGGGGAUCCUCUCCGCUUUUCUUGCCUAAGCAAAACCCGACCCGCCUAGUAGGUCCUUAGAGUUUUCACCCAGCAUGGCAGCCGGUAGAGAGGGAGAGAAAAAAAAGAGGGAGCCAAGCCAGCCGCUUAGGUCAAGUAAAAUGCGCGCCGAGAUCCCCCGGUUUCAGAAUUUUCGUGGGGAUCCUCUCCGCUUUUCUUGCCUAAGCAAAACCCGACCCGCCUAGUAGGUCCUUAGAGUUUUUCACCCAGCAUGGCAGCCGGUAGAGAGGGAGAGAGAAAAAAAAGAGGGAGCCAAGCCAGCCGCUUAGGUCAAGUAAAAUGCGCGCCGAGAUCCCCGGUUUCAGAAUUUUCGUGGGGAUCCUCUCCGCUUUUCUUGCCUAAGCAAAACCCGACCCGCCUAGUAGGUCCUUAGAGUUUUCACCCAGCAUGGCAGCCGUAGAGAGGGAGAGAGAAAAAAAAGAGGGAGCCAAGCCAGCCGCUUAGGUCAAGUAAAAUGCGCGCCGAGAUCCCCCGGUUUCAGAAUUUUCGUGGGGAUCCUCUCCGCUUUUCUUGCCUAAGCAAAACCCGACCCGCCUAGUAGGUCCUUAGAGUUUUCACCCAGCAUGGCAGCCGGUAGAGAGGGAGAGAGAAAAAAAAGAGGGAGCCAAGCCAGCCGCUUAGGUCAAGUAAAAUGCGCGCCGAGAUCCCCCGGUUUCAGAAUUUUCGUGGGAUCCUCUCCGCUUUUCUUGCCUAAGCAAAACCCGACCCGCCUAGUAGGUCCUUAGAGUUUUUCACCCAGCAUGGCAGCCGGUAGAGAGGGAGAGAGAAAAAAAAGAGGGAGCCAAGCCAGCCGCUUAGGUCAAGUAAAAUGCGCGCCGAGAUCCCCGGUUUCAGAAUUUUCGUGGGAUCCUCUCCGCUUUUCUUGCCUAAGCAAAACCCGACCCGCCUAGUAGGUCCUUAGAGUUUUCACCCAGCAUGGCAGCCGGUAGAGAGGGAGAGAAAAAAAAAGAGGGAGCCAAGCCAGCCGCUUAGGUCAAGUAAAAUGCGCGCCGAGAUCCCCCGGUUUCAGAAUUUUCGUGGGGAUCCUCUCCGCUUUUCUUGCCUAAGCAAAACCCGACCCCGCCUAGUAGGUUCUUAGAGUUCUUCACCCAUCAUGGCAGCCGGUAGAGAGGGAGAGAAAAAAAAAGAGGGAGCCAAGCCAGCCGCUUAGGUCAAGUAAAAUGCGCGCGCGAGAUCCCCGGUUUCAGAAUUUUCGUGGGGAUCCUCUCCGCUUUUCUUGCCUAAGCAAAACCCGACCCCCUAGUAGGUCUUAGAGUUCUUCACCAGCAUGGCAGCCGGUAGAGAGGGAGAAGAAAAAAAAGAGGGAGCCAAGCCAGCCGCUUAGGUCAAGUAAAAUGCGGCCGAGAUCCCCGGUUUCAGAAUUUUCGUGGGAUCCUCUCCGCUUUUCUUGCCUAAGCAAAACCCGACCCGCCUAGUAGGUCCUUAUAGUUCUUCACCUAGCACGGCAGCCGGUAGAGAGGGAGGGAGAAAAAAAAGAGGGAGUCAAGCCAGCUGCUUAGGUCAAAUAAAAUGCGCGUCGAGAUUGCCUGGUAUCAGAGCUUGCAUGGGCAACCUCUCCGCUUUAGAUGGAAUUUGAUGAAAUGCUUAUGUCGAAAGUAGGCAUUUCUCUACAGAGUCCUAAUGGUCAUAGAAAUUUAUUAUGUUUGUAUUUAUUUUACUUUGUUGUCAAGAAUCAACUUCUUUUCUGAUUUGUAUGUUUAUGUAUAUGUUGCAUCUCUGUCUUGUUAUCAUGUUGUAUUUCAUUGUACUCAAUAGUCUGAUUUGCAUUUUUUAUUUGUGUUAAUAAGUGUUCGUGUAAUUGCAAUUUUGUUCUUGAAGAUAUUUUGCUUGAAUCAAGUUAGUUCUUUCUAUAAGGAUCAUUUUCUUGUAAGGUUAUAACUUCUUGUCCAAUUUUUCCAACUCACAUUUCAACUUGUAACAGGUGAAUCCCUUCUAAAUAAGAGCUUAAAAAGAAAAAACAAUUGGAACCUUUAACCAUAAAAUCAAGGUACUGCAUCUUAUUUGCAAUGAAUUGCUAUAAUUUUGUAGAGACUCCACAAAUAAAAUACUAAAUUACCCAAACAGUUGGCAAACAGAGACAACACUCUGUAGAUCUUUAUUUAUAUAUAAAUGCAAAGAUACAGUAGAAGGAAAUAUAAAAGAACAAUAAAGAUGAUAAUAUCAUGUCAAACCUCCCCAGGAAAAGAUAGUAGUCCUUCCUAGACCUAGCAGCCUCUACAGACCAAAUGAAGACAAAAAGUUAACCUAGCCCCCAAUCCCGAUAAGGCCUUAUUUAUAGCUCUUUUCUCAUUCUUCCCGUGGGCCCCACUCUCAUGUUCUUUUCCUAAUAUUCUCCCCUUUUCUGCUGCGUGAGCUUUUACGUUUUUACCCCUCCUUUUGUAUGUAUGGAUAAUAGGGGGCCUUACAAUACCCUCGGUUCCAGGUUCACCUUGUCCUCAAGGUGAAAGUCAGGGAAUUGUUGGUUCAUUUGGAAAACAGAUUCCCAAGUUGUUUCACUGUCCGCAGCCCUUUCCACUUAAUUAACCAUUCAUUUCCUCCAAUUCCCGAUUCCAACGGACUCCCAACACUGUUUCCGGCCAUAAUUGUAACUCAAACUCUUCCGUUAGCCUAGGUUGCUGGUGUUGAACAGCUUGUUGACUACCAGUUUCAGUUUUAACUGAGAAAUAUGGAACACAUUGUGGAUACUGGCUUCCGGCGGUAACAUCAAUCUGUACGCAACUGCUCCUAUUUCUUCAGUAAUUUUGUAGGGUCCGUAAUAUUAGGUGCUAACUUUUCACACUUCUUCCGAGCCAAGGAGCGUUGCCGGUAAGGUCUCAAUUUCAAGUAGACUUCAUCUCCUACCUUAAAUUUUAACUCUCUUCUAUUUCGAUCAGCCAUUUUCUUCAUCCUGUUCUAGGCUACACACAGGUGUUCUUUUAAGGCAUUGAUGGCUAAGUCACGUUCCUUCAGCAGCGUGUCAACCUCAUUAUUAGGAGUUUUCUUGUAACCAUAGGAUAACAGGGGAGGAGGCGGUCUGCGGUAUACCGUCUGAAAGGGGUCAUUUUGGUGGAUGCAUGGAAGGUGGUAUUAUACCACAAUUCUGCCCAUGGAAUCAGUCUAUCCCAUUUUUUUGGUUGUUCAUUACAGAAGCAUCGCAGAUAAGUUUCGAGACAUCUAUUUACCCUUUCUGUCUGCCCAUCAGUUUGUGGGUGAAACGCGGUACUCCUCUUUAGAAUAGUUCCCAUGGUUGCAAACAGUUCCUUCCAAAAAUUACUAAGAAAGAUUUUUAUCCCGAUCUGUGAUAAUCGACUUAGGAAUGCCGUGCUUGCUUACUAUUCUGUCGAUGAAUAUGGAAGCAACUUGCUUGGCUGAAAACGGAUGUCUCAAUGAUAUAAAGUAAGAAUACUUACUCAGCCGAUCAACUACCACCAUGAUCACAUUAACCCCCAGCUAGUGGCAACCCCUCAAUAAAGUCCAUGGUCCAAUCUUCUAAGAUUCUGUCAGGAAUUGGAAUUGGUUGAAGUACCCCAGCUGGUUUGGUUGCUUCGUAUUUGUUUCUCUGGCAGAUCUCGCAUUGUUCCACAUAUUUCUUUAUUUCAGCCUUCAUACCCUCCAAUAUAGUUCUCACUGAUCCUCUCGUAAGUUCUUAAAAAUCCAGAAUGUCCCCCGAGGAUAGAAUCGUGGAAAGUAUGUAGGAUCUUGGGUAUAAGUGUAGAAGUUUGAGAUACUACCAUUCUCCCUUAUAGAGCAAUCUUCCUUUUUCCACUUGAAACUUGCUUCCUUCUUCUGCAUUUUCUUCAGAUUUUCCAUAAUUUUCUUAAGUUCAGCAUCAUUCUCAACUUCCUGCUCGAUUAGUUUCACAUCAAUGAUUCCAGUAGUUGUCAAGCUGUGCAGCUCCACCGGUUGCUCCAUUCUAGAUAGGGCGUCCGCUGCCUUGUUCUGAUGUCCGGGUUGAUAUAAAUCUCGAAAUCAUAUCCAAGGAGCUUUGUCAACCAUUUCUGGAAUUGGGGCUGUACCUCUCUCUGUUCAAGCAAGAAUUUAAGAGCCUUUUGAUCUGAAAGUAUGGUGAACUUCCUGCCCAGCAAAUAAUGCCUCCAUUUUUGAACUGAUAGAACUACAGCCAUCAACUCUCUUUCAUAGAUGGAUUUGUUUUGAGCCUUGUGGAUAACUUCUGACUGAAAAAGGCAAUCGGGUGGCCAUUUUGAGAGAUCACCGCUCCUAACCCUACGCCAGAUGCAUCAGUUUCGAUAAUAAAGGGAAUGUUCCAAUCUGGUAAUGCCAACACUGGUAGAGUAGUCAUUGCUAGCUUCAAAUUUUCGAAGGCAGUAUUUGCUUCUUCAUUCCACUUAAAAGCAUUCUUCUGUAAUAACUUGGUUAGCGGUGCAGCGAUCUCUCCAUAACCCUUGACAAACCUCCUAUAAUAUCCUGUCAGUCCUAAGAAGCCCCGCAGACCAGAUAUAUUCGUUGGUGGUGGCCAAUUAAUCAUCUUCUUGAUCUUAUCCUCAUCUGCCUCAACUCCUCUUUUGGAUAUCAUAUGUCCCAAGUACUGUAUUUGAGAAUGGGCUAUAACGCAUUUUUUUUUGUUAGCAAACAGCUGGUUAUCCUUCAAAACAUUGAAUACCAUGCCCAAAUGCUUUGCGUGUUCAUCUAUAUCCGCACUAUAAACCAGUAUAUCAUCAAAGAACACCAAAACACAGCGCCGAAGGAAAGGUUUAAAUACCUGGUUCAUCAAAGAUUGGAAGGUUGCCAGAGCAUUCGUGAGACCAAACGGCAUUACUAGAAACUCAUAGUGCCCUUCAUGUGUGCGGAACACAGUUUUCUCCACAUCUUCCUCUUUCAUUCUAAUCUGGUGAUAACCAGAUUUCAGAUCUAAUUUCGAGAAAACCGUUGCCCUAUUCAGCUCAUCUAAUAAUUCCUCUAUCACAGGAAUUGGGAACUUAUCCGAUACUGUCGCCUGAUUUAACUUGCGGUAAUCGACACAAAAUCUCCAUCCACCAUCUUUUUUCUUCACUAACAACACCGGGCUGGAGUAAGGGCUAUGACUAGGGCGAAUAACCCCUGCUUGAAGCAUCUCGACCACCAGUUUUUCUAUUUCUUCUUUCUGCACAUGACCGUAUUUGUAAGGUCUUACGUUGAUAGGUUUAUGGUCAGGUAGGGUUAAUAUUCGGUGAUCAAUAGCUCUUUUUGGAGGUAAUUUCUUCGGUGUCUCAAAUAUCUCCGCAUAAUACUUGAGCAGGGAUCGGAUCAUAGAUAUUUCCUCCUCAUCUCCUUUUAAUCUUGUCCCCAGUUCAUAUUCAUUCUCUACUUCCAUCUCAUAAUUCUGGAAUUCUAAAGGAAGCCUUGAUCUUCUAUAUCCCACGUUUUUUCCAAUGUCUUCAAAGAACAUUCAGCUUUCACUAAGGAUGGAUCUCCUCUUAACACGAUUUGCUUGUCUUUUGCCCAAAAGGUCAUGGUUAAUGAUGGCCAAUGUACCUUCAUUGUGCCGGUGGUAUCUAGCCAUUGCAUCCCUAAAAUCACGUCAAUAUUUCCUAGUUCCACCACUAGAAAAUCAGUUAUAACUGUCAUUUCUUUCAAUCUCAGUUCCACCUUUCUGCAAAUACCUUUCCCUUUACAGCGGGUCCCGUCUCCAAUAGUCACUCCAAAUUGUGUACCGGGUUCAAUGUUCAACCCUCCUUCCAUUGCCACUGCUUCAUGGAUGAAGUUGUUCGUAGCUCCACUGUCGAUGAGAAUCACCACCUCCCUUCCUUUUACAUGCCCCUUCAGUUUCAUUGUCCCUUUGGAUGUUAACCCCGUGAGUGUCUUCAAUUCAAUUUCGGUGGUUUCAGCAACAACUAACUGGUUCAGCUCCAUUACUUCUUCGGUCUCUUCCAUUUUGACUUCCUCCCCACCACUCUCUUCUUCGUUAAGUAUAAAUAACAUUAAUUCCCUUUUCUCUCUCAUCUUGCAUCGGUGUCCCGGUGAGUACUUCUCAUUGCAUCUAAAACACAAACCCUUGUCCAAUCUUGCUCUGAAUUCCGUGUCCAAGAGUCUUUUAACUGGAGGUUCAUUUUUCUGGUAGUUUCCUUUAAUGGGAAUAGUGACUUGCUUCAUGGGGAACUCAGUCUUCUUUGGUGAACUUUUAUCUUGACUGCUUUGUCCCUUGCUUGAGCCUCCUCCUUCCCUAGUCACACUGUUUACCCAUUCUGCCUUGGCUAAUUUCAAGGCUAGGUUUCUGCCACUUACCAGUUGUGCCUCCUUCAUACAUUCCUCUAAGGUUUGAGGAUGUCUACUAAUAACUUCUGCUUGAAGAGCCGGUUCUAGACCUGUCACGAAUGCAUCUAAGAGCACGCUUUCAGCCAUGUGCGGUAGUGGUGCAGAAUAUUGUACGAAUUUCUUGACAUAAUCAUUAUAGGAUCCAUCUUGUUCUAUUCGAAUCAGCCUUGCACCUAAGCUCUUCUGCCCAGAAUCUUGAAAAAAUUCAAACAUCCUUACCUUCAAAUCUUCCCAUCCUUCCACCUUCUUUCUAUGGUUACUCCAACGGUACCAAUCGAUUUCAUCUUGUCCGAAACUAACCACUGCUACUUUCACUUUUUCUGCUUCCGGUAGGCUAUUAAUUUCGAAAAAAUGCUCAGCUCUAAACACCCAUGACUCAGGAUUUUCCCCGGUGAAAAUCGGCAUUUCCAGUUUCUUAUAUUUGCUUCGGUCGACAGUUACUACAUUGUUUUCCCCUGGAUUGUCGGCUUCUUCCCAUUUUCCUUUUAACUUCAUGACUGAUCCAUCAGAAGUUCCGGAUUCAUCUCGCCUUUUGUAGCUGCUGUUUUCUUUCAUUUCAUCAGCCAGUCUAUCCAUGGAUUUCUUCGUUUCCAGAAUCAUUUCCUUCAAGCUCAGUAUUUCUUUCUCUGUUCCAUCUAUUCUUUCUUCUAUUUGCCUUUGCGCCAUCAGCCGCGUCACCACCCCCAGCGUUUGGGCUCUGAUACCAGUUGUAGAGACUCCACAAAUAAAAUACUAAAUUACCCAAACAGUUGGCAAACAGAGACAGCACUCUGUAGAUCUUUAUUUAUAUAUAAAUGCCAAAGAGAUACAGUAGAAGGAAAUAUAAAAGAAAGCAAUAAAGAUGAUAAUAUCAUGUCAAACCUCCCCAGGAAAAGAUAGUAGUCCUUCCUAGACCUAGCAGCCUCUACAGACCAAAUGAAGACAAAAAGUUAACCUAGCCCCCAAUCCCGAUAAGGCCUUAUUUAUAGCUCUUUUCUCAUUCUUCCCCGUGGGCCCCACUCUCAUGUUCUUUUCCUAAUAUUCUCCCCUUUUCUGCUGCGUGAGCUUUUACGUUUUUACCCCUCCUUUUGUAUGUAUGGAUAAUAGGGGGCCUUACAAUACCCCUCGGUUCCAGGUUCACCUUGUCCUCAAGGUGCAAGUCAGGGAAUUGUUGGUUCAUUUGGAAAACAGAUUCCCAAGUUGUUUCACUGUCCGGCAGCCCUUUCCACUUAAUUAACCAUUCAUUUCCUCCCAAUUCCCGAUUCCAACGGACUCCCAACACUGUUUCCGGCCAUAAUUGUAACUCAAACUCUUCCGUUAGCCAAGGUUGCUGGUGUUGAACAGCUUUGUUAGGUUGUUUUAAAGUCCAAGUGAUACUUAGACACGCCUUGACCACUUUUUAGGUUGGUUUGGAACUAAGUUUGUUGCACUUGCGCACUUGGUUGCCAUUUUGGGUCGUGUAGUGUUUCCUUUUUUUUCCAUACUUCUUGAACUUUUUGGUAGGUUAUGAGUGAUGAAUUUACAAAUAAACAUUCUUAGGUCGUUCUGAAAGUUCAAGUGAUACUUAAACACGGUUUGAAAUUUUUUUAGAUUUGUUUAAGACUAAGUUUGUUUCACUUGCAUACUUGGUUGCCAUUUUAGGUCUCAAAGUGCAUUUUUCACGCAUUUUGAUUUUUUUGUUAGUUUGUGAGUUACGAACUUACACUUAAGGAUUGUUAGGUCGUUUUAAACACAUUUUGCGUUGGUUUGAAACUAAGUUUGUUGCACUUACACAUUGGAUUGAAAUGUUGGGUCUUGAAGUACUUUUUUUCACACUUUUUGAAAUUUUUUUAGGUUGUGAGUUACGAACUUACGCUUGAGUAUUGUUUGGUCGGUUUGAAAUCUUAGACACGUUUUGCACUCUUUUUAGGAUGGCUUGAAACUAAGUCCGUUGCACUUACGUACUUCGUUGCCGUUUUCGGCCUUGAAGUGCUUUUUUUACACUUUUUGAAAUUUUGGUAGAUUGUGAGUUACAAACUUACACUUAAGCAUUGUUUGGUCGUUUUGAAAGUUUAAGUGAUACGUACACACGUUUUGAAUACAUUUUAGGUUAGAUUGAGUUUGUUGCACUUGGUUGUCAUUUUUGGUCUUGAAAUGCUUUUUUCAACCUUUUUGGUAGAUUAUGAGUUACGAACCUACAUUUAGGAUUUGCUAGGUCGUUUUGAAAACUCAAGUAAUACCUAGACACGUUUUGAGCACGUUCUAGGUUGGUUUGAACUAAGUUUGUUACACUUACACACUUGGUAGCCAUUUUGGGUCUUGUAGUGCUUUUUUCACACUAUUUGAACUUUUUUCGUAGGUUAUGAGUUACGAACCUAAACGUAAGCUGUUUUAGGUCGUUUUGAAAGUUCAAGUGAUACUUAGACACAUUUUGUUCAAGUGAUACUGUUUUAGGUUGUUUUCAAGUGAACUUUUUUCUUCUUGUAUUGACUGUUUUACUAUUUCUUCAUGGUUUGUAUUCAUGGUAUUUAUUUUCGUAAUGAAUCUUUCAUGAUUGGUAAACAUUGCAGAAACACAUAAUUUCAGCAAUCUGUCAAAGAGUUGAAGGAGAAGACAGAAGAACUAAAGGUCACAUGAAGACCUAAAAGUUAGGUAAUUUUUGAAAACUUUUUUCUUUGUCUUGCUUAGUUUUAGUGGUAUUUGUUAACAGGCUGAGACAUACUCUUGUAUGCCAAGGCUGGGUGGCCAAUUCAAUGGAUGGCCUGAGACGGUGAAAUGACGAAUGUAGAACAAAGUAGACAAUCGAGCAGAUUUACAAGUAGGAGGAUGAUGUUUGGUCUUACUCUAAAGCUACUGCUAGAAAGGUGAUUCUCCCUUUAUUUACACAUGUUAUCUAUAUUUAAUUACUGUUUUUAUGUGAUGGUGAAUAAAUAUUUAAGUCGUUUCAAGUUUGUACAUCAUGCUUGAGUUAAUACAUUUCCCAACUCGCACUAAUUUUAAAGUUGAGACUAAGUUUGUUGCACUUACACACUUGGUUGCCAUUUUGGAUUUUGGAGUGCUUUUUCUACAUUUUUUAAACAUUUUGGUAGGUUAUGAGUAAUGAAGUAAGACUAAAGCAUUAUUAGGUCGUUUUUAAGUUCGAGUGAUACUUAAACAUUUUUUGAACACCUUUUAGGUUGUUACAAACUAAGUUAGUUUUACAUACAGCCAUGGUUGCCAUUUUGAGUCUUGAAAGAUUUUUUUUCACACUUUUUGAAAUUUUUGGUAAGUUAAUAAAUUUACACUUAAGCGUUGUUAGGUUGUUUGAAAACUUAUACGUGUUUUGAAUACUUAGGUUUGUAUAGAACUAAGUUCGUUGCACUUACACACUCGACAUUUUGGGUUUUGGAGUGUCUUUUUAAAAAAAUUUGAACUUUUUGCUAGGUUAUGACUUAUGAACUUGUAUUGAAUAUUUGUUAGGUCGUUUUGAUAAAAAUAUUAAACCAAGCUUAAACAAUUCCGCUCAUUUUUCUAAAAUUUUUAGUUUAACCUAUUGAAUAAAAUUCGAAAAUUCUUGUUUUCUUUUUGUAGGAAUAAAAGGAAAUGAAAUAUAACCAAACUUGGGAUCUUUGCAAGCAAUCUUCCAUGAAGAAACUAGGCUACAAGUGGUUUUUUGGGUUUUUAGGGGGGCUUUUAGGGCUUUUUGGGCUUAUGGCUUAGGGCUUUUAGCGCUUUUAGGGCUUUUAGGGCGCUUAGGGCUUUUAGGUUUUAGGGCUUAUGGCUUAGGGCUUUUAGGUUUUAGGGCUUAGGGCUUUUAGGGAUUAUGGCUUAGGGCUUAGCGCUUUUAGGGCUUAGGGCUUAGGGCUUAGGGCUUUAAGGGUUUUAAGGGUAUUUAGGGAUAAGGGAUUUUAGGGCUUUUAGGGCAUUUAGGGCUUUUGGGGCUUUUAGGGCUUUUAGGGCUUAGGGUGUUUGGCUUAGGGCUUAGGGAUUAGGCUUGGCUUUUAGGGCUCGGGCUUUGGGCUCGUUGGGCUUUUAGGACUUUUAGUGCUCUUAGGCUUUUUGGGCGCUUAGGGAUUUUAGGGAUUAGGGCUUAGGGCUUAGGGCUUAGGGUUUGGGCUUUUAAGGCUUGGGCUUUGGGCUUUUAGGGCUUAGGGCUUUUAGGCCUAGGGCUUGGGCUUUGGGCUUUUAGUGCGCCUAGGGUGCUUAAGACGUUUAGGGCUUUUGGGGCACUUAGGGCACUUAGGGCUUAUGACUUUUAGGGUUUAGGGUUUAGGGGUUUAGGGUUAGGGUUUAGGGGUUUAGGAUGUAGGGCGCUUAGGGCUUUUAGGGCGCUUAGGGCUUUUAGGUUUUAGGGCUUAGGGCUUUUAGGGAUUAUGUUAGGGCUUUUAGGUUUUAGGGCUUAGGGCUUUUAGGGAUUAUGGCUUAGGGCUUAGCGCUUUUAGGGCUUAGGGCUUAGGGCUUUAAGGGUUUUAAGGGUAUUUAGGGAUAUGGGAUUUUAGGGCUUUUAGGGCAUUUAGGGCUUUUGGGGCUUUUAGGGCUUUUAGGGCUUAGGGUGUUUGGCUUAGGGCUUGGGCUUUUAGAGGUCGGGCUUUGGGCUCGUUGGGCUUUAAGGACUUUUAGUGCUCUUAGGGUUUUUUGGGCGCUUAGGGAUUAGGGCUUAGGGCUUAGGGCUUAGGGCUUGGGCUUUUAAGGCUUGGGCUUUGGGCUUUUAGGGCUUAGGGCUUUUAGGCCUAGGGCUUGGGCUUUGGGCUUUUAGUGCGCCUAGGGUGCUUAAGACGUUUAGGGCUUUUAGGGCACUUAGGGCACUUAGGGCUUAUGACUUUUAGUGUUUAGGGUUUAGGGGUUUAGGGUUUAGGGUUUAGGGGUUUAGGGUGUAGGGCGCUUAGGGCUUUUAGGGCUUUUAGGGCUUUUAGGGCGCAUAGGGCUUUUAGGUUUUAGGGCUUAGGGCUUUUAGGGAUUAUGGCUUAGGGCUUUUAGGUUUUAGGGCUUAGGGCUUUUAGGGAUUAUGGCUUAGGGCUUAGCGCUUUUAGGGCUUAGGGCUUUAAGGGUUUUAAGGGUAUUUAGGGAUAUGGGAUUUUAGGGCUUUUAGGGCAUUUAGGGCUUUUGGGGCUUUUAGGGCUUUUAGGGCUUAGGGUGUUUGGCUUAGGGCUUGGGCUUUUAGGGCUCGGGCUUUGGGCUCGUUGGGCUUUUAGGACUUUUAGUGCUCUUAGGGCUUUUUGGGCGCUUAGGGAUUUUAGGGAUUAGGGCUUAGGGCUUAGGGCUUAGGGUUUGGGCUUUUAAGGCUUGGGCUUUGGGCUUUUAUGGCUUAGGGCUUUUAGGCCUAGGGCUUGGGCUUUGGGCUUUUAGUGCGCCUAGGAUGCUUAAGACGUUUAGGGCUUUUAGGGCACUUAGGGCACUUAGGGCUUAUGACUUUUAGUGUUUAGGGUUCAGGGGUUUAGGGUUUAGGGUUUAGGGGUUUAGGGUGUAGGGCUUUUAGGGCUUUUAGGGCGCUUCGGGCUUUUAGGUUUUAGGGCUUAGGGCUUUUAGGGAUUAUGGCUUAGGGCUUUUAGGGUUUAGGGCUUAGGGCUUUUAGGGAUUAUGGCUUAGGGCUUAGUGCUUUUAGGGCUUAGGGCUUAGGGCUUUAAGGGUAUUUAGGGAUAUGGGAUUUUAUUGCUUUUAGGGCAUUUAGGGCUUUUGGGGCUUUUAGGGCUUUUAGGGCUUCGGGCUUAGGGCUUUAAGGGUUUUAAGGGUAUUUAGGGAUAUGGGAUUUUAGGGCUUUUAAGGCAUUUAGGGAUUUUGGGGCUUUUAGGGCUUUUAGGGCUUAGGGUGUUUGGCUUAGGGCUAGGGAUUAGGGCUUGGGCUUUUAGGGCUCGGGCUUUGGGCGUUGGGCUUUUAGGACUUUUAGUGCUCUUAGGGCUUUUUGGGCGCUUAGGGAUUUUAGGGAUUAGGGCUUAGGGCUUAGGGCUAAGGGUUUGGGCUUUUAAGGCUUGGGCUUUGGGCUUUUAGGGCUUAGGGCUUUUAGGCCUAGGGCUUGGGCUUUGGGCUUUUAGUGCGCCUAGGGUCCUUAAUACGUUUAGGGCUUUUAGGGCACUUAGGGCACUUAGGGCUUAUGACUUUUAGUGUUUAGGGUUUAGGGGUUUAGGGUUUAGGGUUUAGGGGUUUAGGGUGUAGGGCGCUUAGGGCUUUUAGGGCUUUUAGGGCGCUUAGGGCUUUUAGGUUUUAGGGCUUAGGGCUUUUAGGGAUUAUGGCUUAGGGCUUUUAGGUUUUAGGGCUUAGGGCUUUUAGGGAUUAUGGCUUAGGGCUUAGCGCUUUUAGGGCUUAGGGCUUUAAGGGUUUUAAGGGUAUUUAGGGAUAUGGGAUUUUAGGGCUUUUAGGGCAUUUAGGGUUUUGGGGCUUUUAGGGCUUUUAGGCUUAGGGUGUUUGGCUUAGGGCUUGGGCUUUUAGGGCUUGGGCUUUUAGGGCUCGGGCUUUGGGCUCGUUGGUCUUUUAGGACUUUUAGUGCUCUUAGGGCUUUUUGGGCGCUUAGGGAUUUUAGGGAUUAGACUUAGGCUUAGGGCUUAGGGUUUGGGCUUUUAAGGCUUGGGCUUUGGGCUUUUAGGGCUUAGGGCUUUUAGGCCUAGGGCUUGGGCUUUGGGCUUUUAGUGCGCCUAGGGUCUUAACGUUUAGGGCUUUUAGGGCACUGAGGGCACUUAGGGCUUAUGACUUUUAGGUUUAGGGUUUAGGGGUUAGGGUUAGGGUUUAGGGGCUUAGGGUGUAGGGCGCUUAGGGCUUUUAGGUUUUAGGCGCUUAGGGCUUUUAGGUUUUAGGCUUAGGGCUUUUAGGUUAUGGGCUUAGGGCUUUUAGGUUUAGGCUUAGGGCUUUUAGGGAUUAUGGCUUAGGGCUUAGCGCUUUUAGGGCUUAGGGCUUUAAGGGUUUUAAGGGUAUUUAGGGAUAUGGGAUUUUAGGGCUUUUAGGGCAUUUAGGGUUUUUGGGGCUUUUAGGGCUUUUAGGGCUUAGGGUGUUUGGCUUAGGGCUAGGGAUUAGGGCUUGGGCUUUUAGGGCUCGGGCUUUGGGCUCGUUGGGCUUUUAGGACUUUUAGUGCUUUUAGGGCUUUUUGGGCGCUUAGGGAUUUUAGGGAUUAGGGCUUAGGUCUUAGGGCUUAGGGUUUGGGCUUUUAAGGCUUGGGCUUUGGGCUUUUAGGGCUUAGGGCUUUUAGGCCUAGGGCUUGGGCUUUGGGCUUUUAGUGCGCCUAGGGUGCUUAAGACGCUUAGGGCUUUUAGGGCACUUAGGGCACUUAGGGCUUAUGACUUUUAGGCUUUAGGGUUUAGGGUGUAGGGCGCUUAGGGCUUUUAGGGCUUUUAGGGCGCUUAGGGCUUUUAGGUUUUAGGGCUUAGGGCUUUUAGGGAUUAUGGCUUAGGGCUUUUAGGUUUUAUGGCUUAGGGCUUUUAGGGAUUAUCUUAGGGCUUAGCGCUUUUAGGGCUUAGGGCUUAGGGCUUUAAGGGUUUUAAGGGUAUAUAGGGAUAUGGGAUUUUAUGGCUUUUAGGGCAUUUAGGGCUUUUGGGCUUUUAGGCUUUUAGGGCUUAGGGUUUAGGUGGCUUAGGCUUACGGAUUAGGGCUUGGGCUUUUAGGGCUCGGCUUUGGGUCGUUGGGCUUUUAGGACUUUUACUCUUGGCUUUUUGGGCGCUUAGGAUUUAGGGAUUAGGCUUAGGCUUAGGGUUUGGGCUUUUAAGGCUUGGGCUUAGGGCUUUUAGGCCUAGGGCUUGGGCUUUGGGCUUUUAGUGCGCCUAGGGUGCUUAAGACGUUUAGGGCUUUUAGGGCACUUAUGGCACUUAGGGCUUAUGACUUUUAGGGUUUAGGGUUUAGGGGUUUAGGGUGUAGGGCGCUUGGGCUUUUAGGGCGCUUAGGGCUUUUACGUUUUAGGGCUUAGGGCUUUUAGGGAUUAUGGCUUAGGGCUUUUAGGUUUUAGGGCUUAGGGCUUUUAGGGAUUAUGGCUUAGGGCUUUUAGGGAUUAUGGCUUAGGGCUUAGCGCUUUUAGGGCUUACGGCUUUUAGGCCUAGGGCUUAGCGCUUUUAGGGCUUAGGGCUUAGUGCUUUUAGGGCUUAGGGCUUUUAGGCCUAGGCUUGGGCUUUGGGCUUUAGUGCGCCUAGGAUGAUUAAGACGUUUAGGGCUUUUAGGCACUUAGGGCACUUAGGCUUAUGACUUUUAGGGUUUAGGGUUUAGGGUUUAGGGGUUUAGGGUGUAGGGCGCUUAGGGCUUUUAGGGCGCUUAGGGCUUUUAGGUUUUAGGGCUUAGGGCUUUUAGGGAUUAUGGCUUAGGGCUUAGCGCUUUUAGGGCUUAGGGCUUUAAGGGUUUUAAGGGUAUUUAGGGAUAUGGGAUUUUAGGGCUUUUAGGGCAUUUAGGGCUUUUGGGCUUUUAGGGCUUUUAGGGCUUAGGGUGUUUGGCUUAGGGCUUGGGCUUUUAGGGCUCGGUUUGGGCUCGUUGGCUUUUAGACUUUUAGUGCUCUUAGGGCUUUUUGGGCGCUUAGGAUUUAAGGGAUUAGGCUUAGGGCUUAGGGUUAGGGUUUGGGCUUUUAAGGCUUGGGCUUUGGGCUUUAGGGCUUAGGCUUUUAGGCCUAGGGCUUGGGCUUUGGGCUUUUAGUGCGCCUAGAGUGCUUAAGACGUUUAAGGCUAUUAGGGCACUUAGGGCUUAUGACUUUUAGGGUUUAGGGUUUAGGGGUUUAGGGUUUAGGGUUUAGGGGUUUAGGGUGUAGGGCGCUUAGGGCUUUUAGGGCUUUUAGGGCGCUUAGGCUUUUAGGUUUUAGGGCUUAGGGCUUUUAGGGAUUAUGGCUUAGGGCUUUUAGGUUUUAGGGCUUAGGGCUUUUAGGAAUUAUGGCUUAGGGUUUAGCGCUUUUAGGGCUUAGGGCUUUAAGGGUUUUAAAGGUAUUUAGGGAUAUGGGAUUUUAGGGCUUUUAGGGCAUUUAGGGCUUUUGGGGCUUUUAGGGCUAUUAGGGCUUAGGGUGUUUGGCUUAGGGCUUAGGGAUUAGGGCUUGGGCUUUUAGGGUCGGGCUUUGGGCUCGUUGGGCUUUUAGGACUUUUAGUGUCUUAGGGCUUUUUGGCGCUUAGGGAUUUUAGGGAUUAGGGCUUAGGGCUUAGGGCUUAGGGUUUGGGCUUUUAAGGCUUGGGCUUUGGGCUUUUAGGGCUUAGGGUUUAGGGUUUAGGGUUUAGGGUUUAGGGUUUAGGGUUUAGGGUUUGGGGUUUAGGGUUUUAGGGUGUAGGGCGCUUGGGGCUUUUAGGGCGCUUAGGGCUUUUAGGUUUUAGGCUUAGGGCUUUUAGGGAUUAUGGUUAGGGCUUUUAGGUUUUAGGGCUUAGGGCUUUUAGGGAUUAUGGCUUAGGGCUUAGCGCUUUUAGGGCUUAGGGCUUUUAGGGAUUAUUGCUUAGGGCUCACCGCUUUGGCUUUGGGCUUUUAGUGCGCCUAGGGUGCUUAAGACGUUUAGGGCUUUUAGGGCACUUAGGGCACUUAGGGCUUAUGACUUUUAGGGGGUUUAGGGUUUAGGGUUUAGGGGUUUAGGGUGUAGGGCGCUUAGGGCUUUUAGGGCGCUUAGGGCUUUUAGGUUUUAGGGCUUAGGGCUUUUAGGGAUUAUGGCUUAGGGCUUUUAGGUUUGAGGGUUUAGGGCUUUUAGGGAUUAUGGCUUAGGGCUUAGCGCUUUUAGGGCUUAGGGCUUAGGGCUUUAAGGGAUUUAAGGGUAUUUAGGGAUAUGAGAUUUUAGUGCUUUUAGGGCAUUUAGGGCUUUUGGGGCUUUUAGGGCUUUUAGGGCUUAGGGUGUUUGGCUUAGGGCUUAGGGAUUAGGGCUUGGGCUUUUAGGGCUCGGGCUUUGGGCUCGUUGGGACUUUUAGGACUUUUAGUGCUCUUUAGGGCUUUUUGGGCGCUUAGGGAUUUUAGGGAUUAGGGCUUAGGGCUUAGGGUUUGGCUUUUAAGGCUUGGGCUUUGGGCUUUUAGGGCUUAGGGCUUUUUAGGCCUAGGGCUUGGGCUUUGGGCUUUUAGUGCACCUAGGGUGCUUAAGACGUUUUAGGGCUUUUAGGGCACUUAGGGCACUUAGGGCUUAUGACUUUUAGUGUUUUAGGGUUUAGGGUUUAGGGUUUAGGGUUUAGGGUUUAGGGUUUACGGUGUAGGGCGCUUAGGGCUUUUAGGGCUUUUAGGGCGCUUAGGGCUUUUAGGUUUUAGGGCUUAGGGCUUUUAGGGAUUAUGGCUUAGGGCUUUUAGGUUUUAGGGCUUAGGGCUUUUAGGGAUUAUGGCUUAGGGCUUUUAGGGAUUAUGGCUUAGGGCUUAGCGCUUUUAGGGAUUAGGGCUUAGCGCUUUUAGGGAUUAUGGCUUAGGGCUUAGCGCUUUUAGGGCUUAGGGCUUAGGGCUUUAAGGGUUUUAAGGGUAUUUAGGGAUAUGGGAUUUUAGGGCUUUUAGGGCAUUUAGGGUUUUGGGGCUUUUAGGGCUUUUAGGGCUUAGGGUGUUUGGCUUAGGGCUUACGGAUUAGGGCUUGGGCUUUUAGGGCUCGGGCUUUGGGCUCGUUGGCUUUUAGGACUUUUAGUGCUCUUAGGACUUUUUGGGCGCUUAGGGAUUUUUAAGGAUUAGGGCUUAGGGCUUAGGGCUUAGGGUUUGGGCUUUUAAGGCUUGGGCUUUGGGCUUUUAGGGCUUAGGGCUUUUAGGCCUAGGGCUUGGGCUUUGGGCUUUUAGUGCGCCUAGGGUGCUUAAGACGUUUAGUGCUUUUAGGGCACUUAGGGCUUAUGACUUUUAAUGCUUGGGGCUUUGGGCUUAGGGCUUGGGCUUAGGGCUUUUAGGGCUUUUAGGGCUUUUAGGGCUUUUAGGGCGCUUAGGGCUUUUAGGUUUUAGGGCUUAGGGAUUUUUGGGCUUUUAGGUUUUAGGGCUUAGGGAUUUUUGGGCUUUUAGGGCUUAGGGCUUAGGCUUUUAGGGCUUAGGCUUUUAGGGCUUGGGCUUUGGACUUUUAGGACUUUUAAGGCGCUUAGGGCUUUUAGGUUUUAGGACUUAGGGCUUUUAGCGCUUAGCGCUUUUAGGGCUUAGGGAUUUUAGGGCUUUUAGGCCUUUUAGGGCUUAGGGAUUUUAGGGAUUUUAAGGCUUUUAGGGCAUUUAGGGCAUUUAGGGCUUUUAGGUCUUUUAGGGCUUAGGGCUUUUAGGGUUUGGACUUUUAGGGCUUGGGCUUUGGGCUUUUAGGGCGCUUAAGGCGUUUAGGGCGCUUAGGGCUUGUGACUUUUAGGUCUUAUGGCUUUUAGGGCUUAGGGCUUACUUAUUUUCGGGCUUAUCGUUUAGGGUUGAGGGUUUAGGGUUUAGGGCUUUUAGGGCUUUUAGGGCUUAGGGCUUAGGGCUUAGGGUUUGGGCUUUUAGGGCUUGGGCUUUGGGCGUUUAGGGCUUUUGGGCUUUUACGACGCUUAGGGCUUUUAGGUUGUAGGGCUUAGGGCUUUUACGGCUUUUACGACUUUUACGACUUUUAGGGCUUUUAGGGCUGAGGUCUUAGGGCUUAGGCCUUAGGGUUGAGGGCUUAGGGCUUAGGGCUUAGGGCUUAGGGUUUAGGGUUUAGGGUUUAGGGUUUAGGGCUUAGUUCUUGUGCUUUUAUUGCUUAGGGCUUAGGGCUUGUAGGGCUUAGGGCUUAUGGCUUAGGGUUNNNNNNNNNNNNNNNNNNNNNNNNNNNNNNNNNNNNNNNNNNNNNNNNNNNNNNNNNNNNNNNNNNNNNNNNNNNNNNNNNNNNNNNNNNNNNNNNNNNNNNNNNNNNNNNNNNNNNNNNNNNNNNNNNNNNNNNNNNNNNNNNNNNNNNNNNNNNNNNNNNNNNNNNNNNNNNNNNNNNNNNNNNNNNNNNNNNNNNNNNNNNNNNNNNNNNNNNNNNNNNNNNNNNNNNNNNNNNNNNNNNNNNNNNNNNNNNNNNNNNNNNNNNNNNNNNNNNNNNNNNNNNNNNNNNNNNNNNNNNNNNNNNNNNNNNNNNNNNNNNNNNNNNNNNNNNNNNNNNNNNNNNNNNNNNNNNNNNNNNNNNNNNNNNNNNNNNNNNNNNNNNNNNNNNNNNNNNNNNNNNNNNNNNNNNNNNNNNNNNNNNNNNNNNNNNNNNNNNNNNNNNNNNNNNNNNNNNNNNNNNNNNNNNNNNNNNNNNNNNNNNNNNNNNNNNNNNNNNNNUGUACAUAAUAAUAUGUGCGGUUGCCUUUUUUAUCUCAAUUUUAAUCCCCUUUUUUGCCAUCUUCUACUGCCUUUUUUAUAUUAAUUUUAAAUCCCUCUUUUGGCCAUACACAUUUGUAUAAGAUUGUUUGAAAGCAAAAUAUGAUUGUUAGGUCAAGUAGAAAGCAAAGUCGGCAAGUUCUUAGAAUUCUUCACCCAACAUAACAGCCGAUAAAAACAAAACAAUACGACCAAGCUGCUUAGAGUUGCAGAACCGACCCCCGCCUAGUGGGUCACUAGAGUUCUUCACCCAGCAUGGCAGCCGGUAGAGAGGGAGAGAGAAAAAAAGGGAGCCAAGCCAGCCGCUUAGGUCAAGUAAAAUGCGCGAGAUCCCCGGUUUCAGAAUUUUCGUGGGAUCCUCUCCGCUUUUCUUGCCUAAGCAAAACCCGACCCGCCUAGUAGGUCCUUAGAGUUUUUCACCCAGCAUGGCAGCCGGUAGAGAGGGAGAGAGAAAAAAAAGAGGGAGCCAAGCCAGCCGCUUAGGUCAAGUAAAAUGCGCGCCGAGAUCCCCGGUUUCAGAAUUUUCGUGGGAUCCUCUCCGCUUUUCUUGCCUAAGCAAAACCCGACCCGCCUAGUAGGUCCUUAGAGUUUUUCACCCAGCAUGGCAGCCGGUAGAGAGGGAGAGAGAAAAAAAAGAGGGAGCCAAGCCAGCCGCUUAGGUCAAGUAAAAUGCGCGCCGAGAUCCCCCGGUUUCAGAAUUUUCGUGGGGAUCCUCUCCGCUUUUCUUGCCUAAGCAAAACCCGACCCGCCUAGUAGGUCCUUAGAGUUUUUCACCCAGCAUGGCAGCCGGUAGAGAGGGAGAGAGAAAAAAAAGAGGGAGCCAAGCCAGCCGCUUAGGUCAAGUAAAAUGCGCGCCGAGAUCCCCCGGUUUCAGAAUUUUCGUGGGGAUCCUCUCCGCUUUUCUUGCCUAAGCAAAACCGACCCGCCUAGUAGGUCUUAGAGUUUUCACCCAUCAUGGCAGCCGGUAGAGAGGGAGAGAGAAAAAAAAGAGGGAGCCAAGCCAGCCGCUUAGGUCAAGUAAAAUGCGGCCGAGAUCCCCCGGUUUCAGAAUUUUCGUGGGGAUCCUCUCCGCUUUUCUUGCCUAAGCAAAACCCGACCCGCUAGUAGGUUCUUAGAGUUCUUCACCCAUCAUGGCAGCCGGUAGAGAGGGGAGAGAAAAAAAGAGGGAGCCAAGCCAGCCGCUUAGGUCAAGUAAAAUGCGCGCGAGAUCCCCCGGUUUCAGAAUUUUCGUGGGGAUCCUCUCCGCUUUUCUUGCCUAAGCAAAACCCGACCCCGCCUAGUAGGUCUUAGAGUUCUUCACUCAGCAUGGCAGCCUGUAGAGAGGGAGAGAGAAAAAAAAGAGGAGCCAAGCCAGCCGCUUAGGUCAAGUAAAAUGCGUGCCGAGAUCCCCGGUUUCAGAGUUUUCGUGGGGAUCCUCUCCGCUUUUCUUGCCUAAGCAAAACCCGACCCCCUAGUAGGUCCUUAUAGUUCUUCACCUAGCACGGCACGGUAGAGAGGGAGGGAGAAAAAAAAGAGGGAGUCAAGCCAGCUGCUUAGGUCAAGUAAAAUGCCGUCGAGAUUGCCUGGUAUCAGAGCUUGCAUGGGCAACCUCUCCGCUUUAGAUGGAAUUUGAUGAAAUGCUUAUGUCGAAAGUAGGCAUUUCUCUACAGAGUCCUAAUGGUCAUAGAAAUUUAUUAUGUUUUGUAUUUAUUUUACUUUGUUGUCAAGAAUCAACUUCUUUUCUGAUUUGUAUGUUUAUGUAUAUGUUGCAUCUCUGUCUUGUUAUCAUGUUGUAUUUCAUUGUACUCAAUAGUCUGAUUUGCAUUUUUUAUUUGUGUUAAUAAGUGUUCGUGUAAUUGCAAUUUUGUUCUUGAAGAUAUUUUGCUUGAAUCAAGUUAGUUCUUUCUAUAAGGAUCAUUUUCUUGUAAGGUUAUAACUUCUUGUCCAAUUUUUCCAACUCACAUUUCAACUUGUAGCAGGUGAAUCCCUUCAAAUAAGAGCUUAAAAAGAAAAAACAAUUGGAACCUUUAACCAUAAAAUCAAGGUACUGCAUCUUAUUUGCAAUGAAUUGCUAUAAUUUUGUAGAGACUCCACAAAUAAAAUACUAAAUUACCCAAACAGUUGGCAAACAGAGACACACUCUGUAGAUCUUUAUUUAUAUAUAAAUGCCAAAAGAUACAGUAGAAGGAAAUAUAAAAGAAAGCAAUAAAGAUGAUAAUAUCAUGUCAAACCUCCCCAGGAAAAGAUAGUAGUCCUUCCUAGACCUAGCAGCCUCUACAGACCAAAUGAAGACAAAAAGUUAACCUAGCCCCCAAUCCCGAUAAGGCCUUAUUUAUAGCUCUUUUCUCAUUCUUCCCCGUGGGCCCCACUCUCAUGUUCUUUUCCUAAUAUUCUCCCCUUUUCUGCUGCGUGAGCUUUUACGUUUUUACCCUCCUUUUGUAUGUAUGGAUAAUAGGGGGCCUUACAAUACCCCUCGGUUCCAGGUUCACCUUGUCCUCAAGGUGAAAGUCAGGGAAUUGUUGGUUCAUUUGGAAAACAGAUUCCCAAGUUGUUUCACUGUCCGGCAGCCCUUUCCACUUAAUUAACCAUUCAUUUCCUCCCAAUUCCCGAUUCCAACGGACUCCCAACACUGUUUCCGGCCAUAAUUGUAACUCAAACUCUUCCGUUAGCCUAGGUUGCUGGUGUUGAACAGCUUGUUGACUACCCAGUUUCAGUUUUAACUGAGAAAUAUGGAACACAUUGUGGAUACUGGCUUCCGGCGGUAACAUCAAUCUGUACGCAACUGCUCCUAUUUCUUCAGUAAUUUUGUAGGGUCCGUAAUAUUUAGGUGCUAACUUUUCACACUUCUUCCGAGCCAAGGAGCGUUGCCGGUAAGGUCUCAAUUUCAAGUAGACUUCAUCUCCUACCUUAAAUUUUAACUCUCUUCUAUUUCGAUCAGCCAUUUUCUUCAUCCUGUUCUAGGCUACACACAGGUGUUCUUUUAAGGCAUUGAUGGCUAAGUCACGUUCCUUCAGCAGCGUGUCAACCUCAUUAUUAGGAGUUUUCUUGUAACCAUAGAUAACAGGGGAGGAGGCGGUCUGCGGUAUACCGUCUGAAAAGGGGUUAUUUUGGUGGAUGCAUGGAAGGUGGUAUUAUACCACAAUUCUGCCCAUGGAAUCAGUCUAUCCCAUUUUUUUGGUUGUUCAUUACAGAAGCAUCGCAGAUAAGUUUCGAGACAUCUAUUUACCCUUUCUGUCUGCCCAUCAGUUUGUGGGUGAAACGGCGGUACUCCUCUUUAGAAUAGUUCCAUGGUUGCAAACAGUUCCUUCCAAAAAUUACUAAGAAAGAUUUUAUCCCGAUCUGUGAUAAUCGACUUAGGAAUGCCGUGCUUGCUUACUAUUCUGUCGAUGAAUAUGGAAGCAACUUGCUUGGCUGAAAACGGAUGUCUCAAUGAUAUAAAGUAAGAAUACUUACUCAGCCGAUCAACUACCACCAUGAUCACAUUAACCCCUCCAGCUAGUGGCAACCCCUCAAUAAAAGUCCAUGGUCCAAUCUUCUAAGAUUCUGUCAGGAAUUGGAAUUGGUUGAAGUACCCCAGCUGGUUUGGUUGCUUCGUAUUUGUUUCUCUGGCAGAUCUCGCAUUGUUCCACAUAUUUCUUUAUUUCAGCCUUCAUACCCUCCAAUAUAGUUCUCCACUGAUCCUCUUGUAAGUUCUUAAAAAUCCAGAAUGUCCCCCGAGGAUAGAAUCGUGGAAAGUAUGUAGGAUCUUGGGUAUAAAAGAAGUUUGAGAUACUACCAUUCUCCCUUAUAGAAAACUUGAAACUUGCUUCCUUCUUCUGCAUUUUUCUUCAGAUUUUCCAUAAUUUUCUUAAGUUCAGCAUCAUUCUCAACUUCCUGCUCGAUUAGUUUCACAUCAAUGAUUCCAGUAGUUGUCAAGCUGUGCAGCUCCACCGGUUCUCCAUUCUAGAUAUCCGCUGCCUUGUUCUGAUGUCCGGUUGAUAUAAAAUCUCGAAAUCAUAUCCAAGGAGCUUUGUCAACCAUUUCUGGAAUUGGGGCUUACCUCUCUCUGUUCAAGCAAGAAUUUAAGAGCCUUUUGAUCUGAAAGUAUGGUGAACUUCCUGCCCAGCAAAUAAUGCCUCCAUUUUUGAACUGAUAGAACUACAGCCAUCAACUCUCUUUCAUAGAUGGAUUUGUUUUGAGCCCUUGUGGAUAACUUCUGACUGAAAAAGGCAAUCGGGUGGCCAUUUUGAGAGAUCACCGCUCCUAACCCUACGCCAGAUGCAUCAGUUUCGAUAAUAAAGGGAAUGUUCCAAUCUGGUAAUGCCAACACUGGUAGAGUAGUCAUUGCUAGCUUCAAAUUUUCGAAGGCAGUAUUUGCUUCUUCAUUCCACUUAAAAGCAUUCUUCUAUAAUAACUUGGUUAGCGGUGCAGCGAUCUCUCCAUAACCCUUGACAAACCUCCUAUAAUAUCCUGUCAGUCCUAAGAAGCCCCGCAGACCAGAUAUAUUCGUUGGUGGUGGCCAAUUAAUCAUCUUCUUGAUCUUAUCCUCAUCUGCCUCAACUCCUCUUUUGGAUAUCAUAUGUCCCAAGUACUGUACUGGAAUGGGCUAUAACGCAUUUUUUUUUGUUAGCAAAACAGCUGGUUAUACUUCAAAACAUUGAAUACCAUGCCCAAAUGCUUUGCGUGUUCAUCUAUAUCCGCACUAUAAACCAGUAUAUCAUCAAAGAACACCAAAACACAGCGCCGAAGGAAAGGUUUAAAUACCUUGGUUCAUCAAAGAUUGGAAGGUUGCCAGAGCAUUCGUGGAGACCAAACGGCAUUACUAGAAACUCAUAGUGCCCUUCAUGUGUGCGGAACACAGUUUUCUCCACAUCUUCCUCUUUCAUUCUAAUCUGGUGAUAACCAGAUUUCAGAUCUAAUUUCGAGAAAACCGUUGCCCUAUUCAGCUCAUCUAAUAAUUCCUCUAUCACAGGAAUUGGGAACUUAUCCGAUACUGUCGUCUGAUUUAACUUGCGGUAAUCGACACAAAAUCUCCAUCCACCAUCUUUUUUUCUUCACUAACAACACCGGGCUGGAGUAAGGGCUAUGACUAGGCGAAUACCCCUGCUUGAAGCAUCUCGACCACCAGUUUUUUUUUAUUCUUCUUUCUGCACAUGACCGUAUUUGUAAGGUCUUACGUUGAUAGGUUUAUGGUCAGGUAGGGUUAAUAUUCGGUGAUCAAUAGCUCUUUUUGGAGGUAAUUUUUCGGUGUCUCAAAUAUCUCCGCAUAAUACUUGAGCAGGGAUCGGAUCAUAGAUAUUUCCUCCUCAUCUCCUUUUAAUCUUGUCCCCAGUUCAUAUUCAUUCUCUACUUCCAUCUCAUAAUUCUGGAAUUCUAAGAGGAAGCCUUGGUCUUCUAUAUGUAAGGAUUCAACUUGCUUACUUCACUAUUUCUCCCUUACAAUGGCCAAAAACAGAGGUAGCCCUCUGCUAUCUUUAUUUAUAUAUAGCCAAAAUGAGUACAGAAAAACAUAAAGAUUCAAGAAAAACAAGGAAUAAUAAGACAAACCCAGCUUCCUCUAGGGAAAGACUGGAUAUUCCUCUAGGCUAAGCAGCCGCCAACUUCAGGAUAAAAAUAAAACCUACCUCCCCUAGACCUAAAAAACCUAUUUAUAUUCCUUCUCUCAUCUUUCUCUUAUUUCUGUGCCUGGGCCCCACCUGCACGAUCUCCUCCUCUUUUUCCUUCCUCAUUAUUAAUUUGUCCAAUUACUUUUCUGCCCCUCCUUUGAUAUGUAUGAAUAAUUGGAGGUCUUACACUAUAUCCCACGUUUUUUCCAAUGUCUUCAAAGAACAUUCAGGUUUCACUAAGGAUGGAUCUCCUCUUAACACGAUUUGCUUGUCUUUUGCCCAAAAGGUCAUGGUUAAUGAUGGCCAAUGUACCUUCAUUGUGCCGGUGGUAUCUAGCCAUUGCAUCCCUAAAAUCACGUCAAUAUUUCCUAGUUCCACCACUAGAAAAUCAGUUAUAACUGUCAUUUCUUUCAAUCUCAGUUCCACCUUUCUGCAAAUACCUUUCCCUUUACAGCGGGUCCCGUCUCCAAUAGUCACUCCAAAUUGUGUACCGGGUUCAAUGUUCAACCCUCCUUCCAUUGCCACUGCUUCAUGGAUGAAGUUGUUCGUAGCUCCACUGUCGAUGAGAAUCACCACCUCCCUUCCUUUUACAUGCCCCUUCAGUUUCAUUGUCCCUUUGGAUGUUAACCCCGUGAGUGUCUUCAAUUCAAUUUCGGUGGUUUCAGCAACAACUAACUGGUUCAGCUCCAUUACUUCUUCGGUCUCUUCCAUUUUGACUUCCUCCCCGCCACUCUCUUCUUCGUUAAGUAUAAAUAACAUUAAUUCCCUUUUCUCUCUCAUCUUGCAUCGGUGUCCCGGUGAGUACUUCUCAUUGCAUCUAAAACACAAACCCUUGUCCAAUCUUGCUCUGAAUUCCGUGUCCAAGAGUCUUUUAACUGGAGGUUCAUUUUUCUGGUAGUUUCCUUUAAUGGGAAUAGUGACUUGCUUCAUGGGGAACUCAGUCUUCUUUGGUGAACUUUUAUCUUGACUGCUUUGUCCCUUGCUUGAGCCUCCUCCUUCCCUAGUCACACUGUUUACCCAUUCUGCCUUGGCUAAUUUCAAGGCUAGGUUUCUGCCACUUACCAGUUGUGCCUCCUUCAUACAUUCCUCUAAGGUUUGAGGAUGUCUACUAAUAACUUCUGCUUGAAGAGCCGGUUCUAGACCAGUCACGAAUGCAUCUAAGAGCACGCUUUCAGCCAUGUGCAGUAGUGGUGCAGAAUAUUGUACGAAUUUCUUGACAUAUCAUUAUAGGAUCCAUCUUGUUCUAUUCGAAUCAGCCUUGCACCUAAGCUCUUCUGCCCAGAAUCUCGAAAAAAUUCAAACAUCCUUACCUUCAAAUCUUCCCAUCCUUCCACCUUCUUUCUAUGGUUACUCCAACGGUACCAAUCGAUUUCAUCUUGUCCGAAACUAACCACCUACUUUCACUUUUUCUGCUUCCGGUAGGCUAUUAAUUUCGAAAAAAUGCUCAGCUCUAAACACCCAUGACUCAGGAUUUUCCCCGGUGAAAAUCGGCAUUUCCAGUUUCUUAUAUUUGCUUCGGUCGACAGUUACUACAUUGUUUUCCCCUGGAUUGUCGGCUUCUUCCCAUUUUCCUUUUAACUUCAUGACUGAUCCAUCAGAAGUUCCGGAUUCAUCUCGCCUUUUGUAGCUGCUGUUUUCUUUCAUUUCAUCAGCCAGUCUAUCCAUGGAUUUCUUCAUUUCCAGAAUCAUUUCCUUCAAGCCCAGUAUUUCUUUCUCGUUCCAUCUAUUCUUUCUUCUAUUUGCCUUUGCGCCAUCAGUCGCGUCACCACCCCAGCGUUUGGGCUCUGAUACCAGUUGUAGAGACUCCACAAAUAAAAUACUAAAUUACCCAAACAGUUGGCAAACAGAGACAGCACUCUGUAGAUCUUUAUUUAUAUAUAAAUGCCAAGAGAUACAGUAGAAGGAAAUAUAAAAGAAAGCAAUAAAGAUGAUAAUAUCAUGUCAAACCUCCCCAGGAAAAGAUAGUAGUCCUUCCUAGACCUAGCAGCCUCUACAGACCAAAUGAAGACAAAAAGUUAACCUAGCCCCCAAUCCCGAUAAGGCCUUAUUUAUAGCUCUUUUCUCAUUCUUCCCCGUGGGCCCCACUCUCAUGUUCUUUUCCUAAUAUUCUCCCCUUUUCUGCUGCGUGAGCUUUUACGUUUUUACCCCUCCUUUUGUAUGUAUGGAUAAUAGGGGGCCUUACAAAUUUCUUCCAACACUAUGAAACAUUUAUGUUAUAGUUUUAUUAUUGUAAACAUUUUUGCUAAACAUCAUUGUAAUUUCCAAACACAACUCUGCCAAAGUUCCCAAGAUAGUUCUAUAGCAAUGUUCCACAGGCUAUCUUGCAAGUGAUGUGGAACUCCUUUGCUUUUUUGAAUAGUAAGCUGGCCUUCCUCUUUUGUUAUGCUUUGUUUUGUUCUUAAUACUUGCUUUUAUCUUCGCCUAUUUCAUUCCUAGUUGAUAUAUUACAUAGUCCUCUUAAAUCUACAUUCUUUUUCUGUUUUAUGAUUCGCUUGAGUUUAAUGACUAACUUUGGCAAAAUAAUGUUGAACUAUAUUACAUGUUUUGCAUCUAAACCUCAAUUGAAAAGGUUUGUUACCUGUAUCAUUAUAAGGUUUCCAUCCAUCUUUCUUAGGCCAUCAAUGAAGUUUUUGCUUAGAUCUAUCUUAGUUCGGCCUCUUUAAAAUGUUACUCCAUACAAGGAAGAUCGAAAGUUGUGAUUACAAAGUGUAGAUUUGUAUUGUAUAGUUGCCUUAGUUAUUUUUUUAAUUAUUCUUUUUAGACGUUAUUUCCUUUUAUAAUUAGUUCUCUUUAGUUAGAAUUUCUAUUAAAUUAUACUUGCCUAUUAUCAAGUCCUUUUUCAUUAAUAAGAGAAAAUGGAGUUUUUCUCAAAUAACAAAAAGUGAUUAUUUAAGAUACUAUGCUAAAGGGAACACAUCCAAUUACCAUGUUGAGAAUAUUAUCUUUGCCUAUUGAAGGUCUUGGAUUCUUGGUCAACUUUGAAUGCGAAUUUUUCUUAGUUGAUUAUUAAAUAUCAGGGUAAAAAGAUCUUAUAUUGUAAUGUUGUUUUGCUUCACUUGCAUCAUACACUAAAACACAAGAUUAAAAAAAAAGUUAUAUUUAGACUUUUGUAUGGUAGAUUAGGUGUUCUCUUUGAAUUGGUGUUGGUAUUGGCUUUCUAAUUAUGAUAUGAUUUUGGGAACCUUUGAAUUAUGUUCUUCAAACCUUCUCUCUUCGAUUGAAGCUUAUUAUAUUUUAUCGUUGUUAGUAUGUUUUUUUUUUUCCAUUUUUUCCCUUCUAAUAUUUUUAUUUGAUAUAUAAUGUGCAUAAAAGAGAAAGUAGUUAAUGUGUUUUACAUUGUUGUGUUGUGCAAAGUUGGUGCUGUUGGUUCAAAUAUUUAAGAUUUGGUGAAGCACUUGGAAUAAGUUCAAACUUUUAAUCUGUAGGAUAAUUUACUUUAUAAGAAUCACACAUUUACCUUUUUUUUCUUUUUUGAAGUAGGAAAGGAGCCUCUUCAUUAAGCUGAAAAUGAAUAGACAAGACAAAAGGUAAUACAAAGAAGCCCUAGGAUCAGUGAGUGCACUAGGACAUCUCAUCUAUGUUGACACCUACUUAGCAUUCUCACCAUAUCGAGACUUAAACCAAAAGACUAAACCAACGACAAGGUUUGGAAUAGAUCAUACAAACUGCCCAAUAACUAUACAACAUAGAUUUAAGACCACUAGAAAUCCAAAAGAAAUAAAAUAAGAGUACAGUAGUGGACUAAGAAUUAAAAAUGAAAGUCGGCCAAUUAUGACUUAUAUCUUGUAUGGAGAAAUCUUUGAAGUCUUUUGAAAGAGAGCAUCAAGAAGAAGCAUUGAUUCUAGCCAUUUCGACUCGAGUUGUCCAAGAGGAAGCUUUAUUUUAAAAUGUUAGCUGAUUAUGUUCAAACCAAAUUUCUGGUAAAAUGGCCUUCACUGCAUUUAACCAAAUCAAUCUUGGUUUCUUCUUGAGAAUGGGACAUGAAAUAAGCUGGACCGCGUUCUCCUAAAUCUAUAGUCGAAAACCCAAUUCAAAUGAAGAUAGCCAAGUAAGUCAAACCAACACUUCUUUUCAUGUAAGCAGGAGAAGAAAAUAUGAUGUAAAUCUUCUAAAGCAUGCAAACACAAGGGACAAAUAUUAGGAGAUAAACUGUGAGAGGAAGGUUUCAUUUGCAAAACUUCUGCACAGUUCAUAGUCCAUUUCGCUUUCUCCAAAGCGUGAUAUUCACUCUUCUAGGGCUUUUUGUCUUCCAAAUUGUCGAGUAUAAAUGUUUUUCAAUUGGGGAGGCAAUGGAGAGAUGCUUGACCAAUGAAUGAACCAAAAACCUCCCAUUUGAUUCUGAUUUCUAGGUUCUUUUAUUUUGGGAGGCUUGAAAUUCAUCUAUUUCUUCAACUUUUAGAAGUCUCCUGAAAUUUAGAGCCCAUGAAGUAGUGGAAGAGUCCCAAAACUCCUUUACAUCUCCAUUAUUAGAGUUCAAAGACAAUCUAAACGAUCUUGAAAAGAAACAACAUCUGCCCAAAAAUCAUUCCAAAAUGCUAUUCUUCAACCAUCACCGAACUUGAACAAUGCCUAGGAAUCCACUUGAAGCUAGCAUCUCGAAAUGCUAAUCCAGGGACUAUGGAGACUGCAAGUGACAAUUCCUUUAGUAUGCCAUCCAAAUUAACUUUCUCCAUGGAUACUCUUCACCACUUUAGCCCAAAGGGAAUUCUUUUCAUUUAUAAAUCUCCAUCCCCAUUUAGCAAGAAGGUUGCAUUUUUUUAACGUUGCACCAUCGACGCCGAUUCCACCAUCCUCUUGCGAACAAGACACCACCUUCCAAUUAAUCACUUUAUGAAUCAUCUUUUCUGGCAUUAAGAAUAUAGACAUAUAGUGUGUAGGUAUAUGUGAAAAAACCGACUUACAAAGUGUGUCCCAACCUCCACUAAAGAGACAAUAUCUUUUCCACUUAUCUAGUUUAACUUGGAUUUUAUCUAUUUCUUGAAAUUACAUAAGGAGUAGAGAGAGGGCUCCAAGCCGAAGCAGUUAUGGAAAACAUCUCCAAUUUACAGCAAGUUAAAGCAAAAAAAAAAAAAAAAAACCGCAGUUCAAAAAAACUGGGCAUCUUGCUUCCUUCUAAUUGAAAGUUCUGCUGUUUCUGUCAAGUCAAAUUGACCACAAAAUGCUCAAAUGAGAUUCUUCAAUAGGAAUACAUAAAAAAAAAAUAAUAUGUAAAAGAAUUUUCAAUGUUUAAUAUAAUAUGUAAAAUAAUUUUCUUAUAUUGGAAUUGGCAGAUGGCUGAGGGCCUUCGUGAAACGUGGGAGAGAAGCGAUAACAUUAUCGUUCAAAAAAUUCAGGAGUAAGUAUUUAUGUGAAAGGCCAUAUUAUUUGGCCAUUUGACCUUAUUUAUGAUUGAAUUAUUUGGAUGGAAAUGAUAAACUACACAUUAUUGUCUGCUUGAGUUGUGAUCUUGAUUAUGGGCUAUUUGGUAUUUUGCCUACAAACUGUAUAGUUAAUUAUCUGUUAGCUUUUGUUUUCCUGUCACAGCUUUAUGUUUCUGUGGCUAAUUGUAGCCAAAAGUUUUAUUUAUCGAUCUUAUUUUUCACAGCAUAAAUGAAACCGUGUUUCAAGCAUCAAAUGCUGCUACAUCAUUCAAGGAAAUUCGUCGUAGAGAUCCGUAAGUUUUUUCCUUUGGUGCUGUGAUACUAACCUGUUUGAAUAAAGGAAUCUGACUUGGUCUUUUCCUCUUUAACAUUAUGGAUUAGGUCUUUCUCUUUACCAGAUUUCGUAGUUGAACUUUAAGAAGCAAUCAAACCGGUGUUAACUUCUUAUAUAAAGGUUAGUGCUAACUGCUAAGCUUAUUUCUAAGAUGAAAGAUGCUUUUAUCCCCUCCCCAAAGAAUAUCAUUACUAUUUAUGUUGUAUUUCUGCUAACUAAUUCUUGCAUAGCAUCUGGUUUGAUAAAUAAAGUAAAGUUUCUGACAUGGAGGUUUUCAAGUUGGAAUAUAUAUUUAUGUUUUAGGUAGAUUCCCAAACUUUGAAGAAACGCUGCAGUACUGAGGUAAUUGAACGUUGUAAGGCAGAGCAUUGGGCUUACCGGAGCCAAGGUAUCUUCUUCGAUAACAAGUAAGGAUAGUCCUGAUACUACCUUUCUUUUGUUAUUGAAGUUUAUUGUUCCUUCUCUCUUGUUUGGUGGUUGUGCACCUAUAUUGAUUUGUACUUCUGUUAAUUAAUUAUAGUCCUUCUCUUGUUUGAGUAAUUAUUGUCUACCAUUUUGUUAGCAAAGGCUUCCCGUGGAAAUUUAGUUUGUUGUGCUGCAUGUCCAAGAUGAUUUUCGUGAUUUUAGUUUUAGAUACAUAAAAGGGAUUUUGCAUCACAACAUGAAUGACUAUUUCUAAAUAUGAACCUACAAUAACCCCAAAUGAAUACCUGAUUAAAUUGGAAACAGGGCAGAUAGAGAGUGAGAUGGAGAGUGUUUGUGUGUGCUUUAGAGUAGUUUUAAGCACAUUUUUUAGAUUUGUUUAACACUAAGUUUGUUUCACUUGCACAAUUGGUUGCCAUUUUAGGUCUCAAAGUGCAUUUUCACUCAUUUUGAACUUUUUGUUAGUUUGUGAGUUACGAACUUACACUUAAGCACUGUUAGGUCGUUUCAAACACAUUUUGUGUUUGUUUGGAACUAAGUUUGUUUAGACAUUUGAUUGACAUGUUGGGUCUCCAAGUGCUUUUUUCCACACUUUUUGAAAUUUUGGUAGGUUGUGAGUCACGAACUUACGCUUGAGUAUUGUUUGGUCCGUUUGAAAGCUUAGACACAUUUUGAACUCUUUUUAAGAUAACUUGAAACUAAGUUCAUUGCACUUACAUACUUCGUUGCCGUUUUGGGUCUUGAAGUACCUUUUUCACACUUUUUGAAAUUUUGGUAGGUUGUGAGUUACAAACUUACCCUUAAGCAUUGUUUGGUUGUUUUGAAAAUUCAAGUGAUAGUUACACACGUUUUGAAUACAUUUUAGGUUAGAUUGAGUUUGUUGCACUUGGUUGUCAUUUUUGGUCUUGAAAUGCUUUUUUCAAACUUUUUGGUAGAUUAUGAGUUACGAACUUACACUUAGGAUUUGCUAGGUCGUUUUGAAAACUCAAGUAAUACAUAGACACGUUUUGAGCACAUUUUAGGUUGGUUUGAACUAAGUUUGUUGCACUUACACACUUGGUUGCCAUUUUGGGUAUUGUAGUGCUUUUUUCACAAUAUUUGAACUUUUUUCGUAGGUUAUGAGUUACGAUCCUACACGUAAGCUGUUUUAGGACAUUUUGAAAGUUAAGUGAUACUUAGACACGUUUUAAACUCGGUUUAGGUUAGUUUGAAACUAAGUUUGUUGACCUUAUCCAAUUGGUUGCCAUUUUCGGUCUUGAAGUGCCCUUUUCACACUUUUUGAACUUUUUGGUAGGCUAUGGGUUACCAACUUACACUUAAACUUUGUUAGGUUGUUUUGAAAGUCCAAGUGAUACUUAGACACGCCUUGACCACUUUUUAGGUUGGUUUGGAACUAAGUUUGUUGCACUUGCGCACUUGGUUGCCAUUUUGGGUCGUGUAGUGUUUCCUUUUUUUCCAUACUUCUUGAACUUUUUGGUAGGUUAUGAGUGAUGAAUUUACAAAUAAACAUUCUUAGGUCGUUCUGAAAGUUCAAGUGAUACUUAAACACGGUUUGAAAUUUUUUUAGAUUUGUUUAAGACUAAGUUUGUUUCACUUGCAUACUUGGUUGCCAUUUUAGGUCUCAAAGUGCAUUUUUCACGCAUUUUGAUUUUUUUGUUAGUUUGUGAGUUACGAACUUACACUUAACGAUUGUUAGGUCGUUUUAAACACAUUUUGCGUUGGUUUGAAACUAAGUUUGUUGCACUUACACAUUGGAUUGAAAUGUUGGGUCUUGAAGUACUUUUUUUCACACUUUUUGAAAUUUUUUUAGGUUGUGAGUUACGAACUUACGCUUGAGUAUUGUUUGGUCGGUUUGAAAUCUUAGACACGUUUUGCACUCUUUUUAGGAUGGCUUGAAACUAAGUCCGUUGCACUUACAUACUUCGUUGCCAUUUUGGGUCUUGAAGUGCUUUUUUUACAGUUUUUGAAAAUUUGGUAGGUUGUGAGUUACAAACUUACACUUAAGCAUUGUUUGGUGGUUUUGAAAGUUUAAGUGAUACGUACACAUGUUUUGAAUACAUUUUAGGUUAGAUUGAUUUUGUUGCACUUGGUUGUCAUUUUUGGUCUUGAAAUGCUUUUUUCAACCUUUUUGGUAGAUCAUUACGAACCUACAUUUAGGAUUUGCUAGGUCGUUUUGAAAACUCAAGUAAUACCUAGACACGUUUUGAGCACGUUCUAGGUUGGUUUGAACUAAGUUUGUUACAAUUACACACUUGGUAGCCAUUUUGGGUCUUGUAGUGCUUUUUUCACACUAUUUGAACUUUUUUCGUAGGUUAUGAGUUACAAAUCUCAACGUAAGCUGUUUUAGGUCGUUUUGAAAGUUCGAGUGAUACUUAGACACAUUUUGUUCAAGUGAUACUGUUUUAGGUCGUUUUGAAGUGAACUUUUUUCUUCUUGUAUUGACUGUUUUACUAUUUCUUCAUGGUUUGUAUUCAUGGUAUUUAUUUUCGUAAUUGGGCAUCUUGCUUCUUUCUUAUUGAAAGUUUGGCCGUUUCUUUCAAGUCAAAUUGACCAGAAAAUGCUCAAAUGAGAUUCUUCAAUAGGAAUAUGUAAAAAAAAUAUAAUAUGUAAAAGAAUUUUUGUGAAACGUGGGAGAGAAGCGGUAACAUUAUCCUUCAAAAAAUUCAGGAGUAAAUAUUUAUGUGAAAGGACAUAUUAUUUGGCCAUUUGACCUUAUUUGUUAUUGAAUUAUUUGGUUGGAAAUGAUAAACUACACAUUAUUGUUUGCUUCAGUUGUGAUCUUGAUUAUGGGCUAUUUGGUAUUUUGCUUACAAACUGUAUAGUUAAUUAUCUGUUAGCUUUUGUUUUCCUGUCACAGCUUUAUGUUUCUGUGGCUAAUUGUAGCCAAAAGUUUUAUUUAUCGAUCUUAUUUUUCACAGCAUAAAUGAAACUGUGUUUGAAGAAUCAGGUGCUGCUACAUCAUUCAAGGAAAUUCGUCGUAGAGGUCCGUAAGUUUUUUUCCUUUGGAGAUGUGAUACUAACCUGUUUGAAUAAAGGAAUCUGACUUGGUCUUUUCCUCUUUAACAUUAUGGAUUAGGUCUUUCUCUUUACCAGAUUUCGUAGCUGAACUUUAAGAAGCAAUCAAACCGGUGUUAACUUCUUAUAUAAAGGUUAGUGCUAACUGCUAAGCUUAUUUCUAAGAUGAAAGAUGCUUUUAUCCUCCCCAAAGAAUAUCAUUACUAUUUAUGUUGUAUUUCUGCUAACUAAUUCUUGCAUAGCAUCUGGUUUGAUAAAUAAAGUAAAGUUUCUGACAUGGAGGUUUUCAAGUUGGAAUAUAUAUUUAUGUUUUAGGUAGAUUCCCAAACUUUGAAGAAACGCUGUAGUACUGAGGUAAUUGAACGUUGUAAGGCAGAGCAUUGGGCUUACCAGAGCCAAGGUAUCUUCUUCGAUAACAAGUAAGGAUAGUCCUGAUACUACCUUUCUUUUGUUAUUGAAGUUUAUUGUUCCUUUUGUUGGGGCUUGGUGGUUGUGCACCUAUAUUGAUGUACUUCUGUUAAUUAAUUAUAGUCAUUCUCUCUUGUCUGAGUAAUUAUUGUCAACCAUUUUGUUAGCAAAGGCUUCCCAUGGAAAUUCAGUUUGUUGUGCUGCAUGUCCACGAUGAUUUCGUGAUUUUAGUUUUAGAUACAUAAAAAGGGCCUUUGCAUCACGACAUGAAUGACUACUUUUUAAUAUGAACGUACAAUAACCCAAAUGAAUGCUGAAGUAAGUUUAUUGAUGUAUGUAAUUUACAACAAUCUUUUUGAACUUUUUGGUAGGUUAUGAAUUACGAACUUGUAUUGAAUAUUUGUUAGGUCGUUUUAAUAAUUCAAGUGAUGCUUAGAAAAUGCAACCGAGCUUAAACAAUUGUGCACAUUUUUCUAAAAUUUUUAGUUUAACCUCUUUAAUAAAAUUCGAAGGAAAUUUUGUUUCUUUUUGUAGGAAUAAAGGAAAAUGAAAUAUAACCAAACUUGGGAUCUUUGCAAGCAAGCUUCCAUGAAGAAACUAGGUUACAAGGGGAGGUCUUCUGUUCUCCUUUUUUUUUCUUUCCAUCCGUAGAAUCUUGCUUAAAAUGCUUUGAGGACAAUGCAAAUUUUUAAGGGGGGGGGGUUGUAGCCUUGCACAUUCCAUGUCCUUUGGGAAAUUUUCAUUUUGCAAAUUUUGCUAAAAAUGUCAAAAUUUAGAAACUUUUGCAAUGCUCUAUGCUUAGAAUAAGUACCAUGUCUACUUCGUUUUAGCAUAAAAAAGCAUAUAUGCCUAAACCCAUGAGAACAGAGCUCGGAUUUGUGAUUGUAUUUGUUAUUUGAAUAUGUUACAUAUGUUGAAAAAUGCAUAUAUUGAUAGCUUAGAAAUGAGUAGAACACUUGGUUCAUUUUCUGAAUAUUGUGAAUUAUGUACAUAAUAAUAUGUCGGUUGCCUUUUUUAUCUCAAUUUUAAUCCCCUUUUUUGCCAUCUUCUACUGCCUUUUUUAUAUUAAUUUUAAAUCCCUCUUUUGGCCAUACACAUUUGUAUAAGAUUGUUUGAAAGCAAAAUAUGAUUGUUAGGUUCUUAGAGUUCUUCACCCAACAUAACAGCCGAUAAAAACAAAACAAUACGACCAAGCUGCUUAGAGUUGCAGAACCCGACCCCCGCCUAGUGGGUCACUAGAGUUCUUCACCCAGCAUGGCAGCCGGUAGAGAGGGAGAGAGAAAAAAAGAGGGAACCAAGCCAGCCGCUUAGGUCAAGUAAAAUGCGCGCCGAGAUCCCCCGGUUUCAGAAUUUUCGUGGGGAUCCUCUCCGCUUUUCUUGCCUAAGCAAAACCCGACCCCGGCUAGUAGGUUCUUAGAGUUCUUCACCCAUCAUGGCAGCCGGUAGAGAGGGAGAGAAAAAAAAGAGGGAGCCAAGCCAGCCGCUUAGGUCAAGUAAAAUGCGCGCCGAGAUCCCCGGUUUCAGAAUUUUCGUGGGGAUCCUCUCCGCUUUUCUUGCCUAAGCAAAACCCGACCCGCCUAGUAGGUCCUUAGAGUUUUUCACCCAGCAUGGCAGCCGGUUAGAGAGGGAGAGAGAAAAAAAAGAGGGAGCCAAGCCAGCCGCUUAGGUCAAGUAAAAUGCGCGCCGAGAUCCCCCGGUUUCAGAAUUUUCGUGGGGAUCCUCUCCGCUUUUCUUGCCUAAGCAAAACCCGACCCCGCCUAGUUGGUUCUUAGAGUUCUUCACCCAUCAUGGCAGCCGGUAGAGAGGGUGAGAGAAAAACAAAGAGGGAGCCAAGGCAACCGCUUAGGUCAAGUAAAAUGCGCGCCGAGAUCCCCCGGUUACAGAAUUUUCGUGUGGAUCCUCUCCGCUUUUCUUGCCUAAGCAAAACCCGACCCGCCUAGUAGGUCCUUAGAGUUUUUCACACAGCAUGGCAGCCGGUAGAGAGGGCGAGAGAAAAAAAAAGAGGGAGCCAAGCCAGCCGCUUAGGUCAAGUAAAAUGCGCACCGAGAUCCCCCUGUUUCAGAAUUUUCGUGGGGAUCCUCUCCGCUUUUCUUGCCUAAGCAAAACCCGACAGCCUAGUAGGUCCUUAGAGUUUUUCACCCAGCAUGGCAGCCGGUAGAGAGGGAGAGAAAAAAAAAGAGGGAGCCAAGCCAGCCGCUUAGGUCAAGUAAAAUGCGCGGAGAUCCCCCGGUUUCAGAAUUUUCGUGGGGAUUCUCUCCGCUUUUCUUGCCUAAGCAAAAACCGACCCCGCCUAGUAGGUUCUUAGAGUUCUUCACUCAGCAUGGCAGCCUGUAGAGAGGGAGAGAGAAAAAAAAGAGGGAGCCAAGCCAGCCGCUUAGGUCAAGUAAAAUGCGUGUCGAGAUCCCCCGGUUUCAGAGUUUUCGUGGGGAUCCUCUCCGCUUUUCUUGCCUAAGCAAAACCCGACCCCGCCUAGUAGGUCCUUUUAGUUCUUCACCUAGCACGGCAGCCGGUAGAGAGGGAGGGAGAAAAAAAGAGGGAGUCAAGCCAGCUGCUUAGGUAAAGUAAAAUGCGCGUCGAGAUUGCCUGGUAUCAGAGCUUGCAUGGGCAACCUCUCCGCUUUUGAUGGAAUUUGAUGAAAUGCUUAUGUCGAAAGUAGGCAUUUCUCUAUAGAGUCCUAAUGGUCAUAGAAAUUUAAUAUGUUUUGUAUUUAUUUUACUUUGUUGUCAAGAAUCAACUUCUUUUCUGAUUUGUAUGUUUAUGUAUAUGUUGCAUCUCUGUCUUGUUAUCAUGUUGUAUUUCAUUGUACUCAAUAGUGUGAUUUGCAUUUUUUAUUUGUGUUAAUAAGUGUUCGUGUAAUUGCAAUUUUGUUCUUGAAGAUAUUUUGCUUGAAUCAAGUUAGUUCUUUAAGGAUCAUUUUCUUGUAAGGUUAUAACUUCUUGUCCAAUUUUUCCAACUCACAUUUCAACUUGUAACAGGUGAAUCUCUUCCAAAUAAGAGCUUAAAAAGAAAAAACAAUUGGAACCUUUAACCAUAAAAUCAAGGUACUGCAUCUUAUUUGCAAUGAAUUGCUAUAAUUUUGUAGAGACUCCACAAAUAAAAUACUAAAUUACCCAAACAGUUGGCAAACAGAGACAGCACUCUGUAGAUCUUUAUUUAUAUAUAAAUGCCAAAGAUACAGUAGAAGGAAAUAUAAAAGAAAGCAAUAAAGGUGAUAAUAUCAUGUCAAACCUCCCUAGGAAAAGAUAGUAGUCCUUCCUAGACCUAGCAGCCUCUACAGACCAAAUGAAGACAAAAAGUUAACCUAGCCCCCAAUCCCGAUAAAUAAAUAAGAGCUUAAAAAGAAAAAACAAUUGGAACCUUUAACCAUAAAAUCAAGGUACUGCAUCUUAUUUGCAAUGAAUUGCUAUAAUUUUGUAGAGACUCCACAAAUAAAAUACUAAAUUACCCAAACAGUUGGCAAACAGAGACAGCACUCUGUAGAUCUUUAUUUAUAUAUAAAUGUCAAGAGAUAUAGUAGAAGGAAAUAUAAAAGAAAGCAAUAAAGAUGAUAAUAUCAUGUCAAACCUCCCCAGGAAAAGAUAGUAGUCCUUCCUAGACCUAGCAGCCUCUACAGACCAAAUGACGACAAAAAGUUAACCUAGCCCCCAAUCCCGAUAAGGCCUUAUUUAUAGCUCUUUUCUCAUUCUUCCCUGUGGGCCCCACUCUCAUGUUCUUUUCCUAAUAUUCUCCCUUUUCUACUUCGUGAGCUUUUACGUUUUACCCCUCAUACGGCCCAUAAAAUUUUGGGGAUAGCUUUUCACAUUUCUUCCGAGCUAGUGAUCUUUGUCGAUAGGGUCGUAGUUUCAAAUACACUUCAUCCCCAAUUUUGAAUUUGAGCUCCCUGCGGUUUCGGUCUGCCAUUUUCUUCAUUCUAUUUUGAGCUAUGCAUAGGUUUUCCUCCAGUGCAUUGAGUGCUAAAUCUCUCUCCUUCAACAUGACUUCUACGUCAUUGUUAGGAGAUUGCUUCCAUCCAUAUGACAGCAGUGGCGGGGGAGUUCUUCCAAAAACAGAUUGGUAAGGAGUAGUUUUGGUGGAUGCGUGGAAGGUUGUGUUAUACCAUAAUUCCGCCCAAGGGAUCAGUUUAUCCCAUUUCUUCGGUUGUUCAUUGCAAAAGCAUCUCAAAUAGGUCUCUAGGCAUCUGUUUACCCUCUCGGUUU